Molecule: long non-coding RNA, 61373 nt
Filed under: Sorghum bicolor (sorghum)
Lineage: Eukaryota; Viridiplantae; Streptophyta; Magnoliopsida; Poales; Poaceae
Description: long non-coding RNA (SBIC_LNC014520)
Rfam family: Plant small nucleolar RNA R71 (bases 30522-30628)
Source: RNAcentral
GUAAAGCGCCAUGUCUCUUAUUCUUGAUCAGCUAUAGCUCUGGAGUUUUUGCAGAUUUUCAAAUAAAACUCAGAGAUUCCUUGUAUGACUCUCUCAGAUCUCUCUUUGGUGGUAUUUCUGGAUCCUUACCAAGGCAGUGAUGGUAUAUGCCUUCUCUCAAAAUAUGUGGUAUUUGUGGUAUAAGACAUAGUGACAUUGCCUUCUCUCUCAUCCUACUCUAAUAAAGCGUUUGAUAUCUGGAGCUCAUAGGUGGGAGAUAAAGUAUACAUACUUACAAAACAUUUAUUGCAAAGUCAAACCAUGGAUCUAGAGAAACAAGUCAAUAAGUCAAUUCAAGAUGUGCAUGUGUGGCGAAUGAAUGGUGUAUGGUGAUGAUGGUGAUAAUCGGUGCUUCCGGUGGCGCCUCUUCUUCGUGUACAACUAUCUUCUCUCACCACACCUGACUCAGUGCUACGGUCUCCUUAGGACAAUUUUGUUCAAGCUGUAUGUCUUCAGACCUUACCACUUCUCCUUCGUAGUCUGCCCAUCUGUCCUUGAUGAUUUGCCUCCUCUGGUUGUGGUUGCGUUGUCUUCUUCGUGUCCUGACCUACUUAGAGUCUUCAACUAUAUAGUUAGGGUUAGUAAAAUAGCGACGUACCUUCUCAGAGGGGAAGUGCAUGUGGGCUUCUCCGGUUCCAAUGUAGAUGAUUGCUUUAAAGGUGCUUCAAGCCUCUUGGUAGUAGUCGUUCGUGAAAGCAUAAAAGGCGUCGGAGUACCAUACUGCAUCGAAUUGGCGCUGGGGCCUAGACCUUGAGGCUCCAUAUGGAUCAGUGUAAUACCUACCCGUACAAGAAGGUCGGUUUGUCCGCUGGUGAUCUUGGCACUCCAGCCAUGUCUCCUGUGUCGGCUCCUACGGCUGAGCAUGUUGAACCCACGGGUCCCGAAGGACUCGGCGGUUGUAGUCACGGUAAUGUAGGUACGUUGCUUCUUCCGGCCUGGGAUCAGCUCCAUACUAGGUGCAUUCUUGAUGGGUGGUCAUCCUUUCAGAUGGCACUCGCUGUGGAGCUCUCUGGUUUACCGGUACCACUGCAAUCUCAAUCAAAUAAUUUUGAACAACAUAGAGGCCAUGGUUCGGGUCAGGUAACCGAAUCUUGCCUUUAUUAUCGUAUAUCAUAUACAUUACGUUCAGCAUCCGAGCUUGCCUAAAUGUGUCAUAGACAUGAUAAAUUCGUAACUCGUCAAUGAAUUACAAUGACGAGUUUUCUAGCAAAUUGAGACUAGAAGCUAGACGAGUGAUGAGUGAAGUACAACCGACAGGUUCCUGGAGACUAGGUAUACUAAGCCAAUGAGAAACUAAAAGAGUAACAGGUGAAGUGGGUAUUUUAGUUAUUUCAGCAUAAAGAAGUUGUAAAUCUCCUACUCUUACUUUUCUGGUAUCAUCGUGAUGGAAAAGAUUGUACCCGAGCCAUUUGUGGAACAUCCUAAGAGUGGGGUGUUCCAUGUCGCUGGUUCGGGCUUGAUUAUAAAACUCAUCCCUAGAUAUCUCUCUCUAGAAUUGGUGUCUCUCAAGAUUGGGCAAGUCGGAGUCAAUGUCCAGGAUGCAUCUUGAAGAGAAACCGAGAUGGUCGCUCAAUUCUCUCCAAGACAACGUAAUGUCCUGUUUGAACAUUCGAAAAGCGAUUCCCCCCUCAUAAUAUUGCAAAGUGCAAAGAAAUUCAAUGGUGAGAAGACGGGAACCCAGCUCAGUUAUGUCCCAAAAAUCUAUCCAUCCCACCCUCUAGAAAAUCAAGUCAAAUUUGGUAUCCAUACCUAUUUCUUGUAGCAGGAUAGGAUCAAGAGUGGGGGUGUGAAUGAAAUCCUUGUUCUUUAGCUGUUGGAAAACUUUCUUCUCCCUACGGGACUUCAUUCCAAGGUCUCCUGUCUUGAGGAGGACCUUGUCUUGCGGAUCAGAUGAAGAUGACGGAGCUUGUGGGGGCGUCGGGUCAACGUUCAGCUCUGAUUGGUGCGAGGAGUGUCGGGAUGAGCUCCUCGUACUAAUGUUCUUGAGGACCUUUCCCGCGUUCUUCACCUUCUUCAUCAUCCUGCCAACAAAAGUUGACACAAACACAACUAAUGGAAAAUGUGAGAGAGAAAAAUGUUAGUGGUGAGCUGUCUGACUUGUUAGUAGUCCAUGGGUUAGUCGUCAAGACAAGUUUUUAUUUUGGCAGCGCCUCCCCCUAAACAACUUUCCGCUCUGGACAGUGGGAUCACCACUUACUAGGUGAACCUUACUCUCUUACUCAAAGACUACCAACCUUCCUUUCACUCUUCUCUUCUCUCCUCUCUCCUUCAUACUCUACUACAAGAGCUCCUUCUCUGGAAACUGAAACUUGCGUGGUUUUCUGGAAUGCUUGUGUGAAGAAGUUGGAGGCAGGAGGUGGUCUUUUAUAGGCUGAAGGAGGGACAGGGCGAGCGCCCUCUUUAGGUGGGCGGGCGCCCACCUUUGGUGGCCAUCCCGGCUGCUUUUUACUCCCUCCACUGCUUAUCUCUUACGUAGAAUAAUGUUGAGUGGGCGGUGGUUGGACGGUAGAAAAAUGCUGGUAAGUGGAAACAUAUCGGUGGAUCACAAGAUAUGGUGUAUGACAUGUGGGACCCAAGGAGUGUGGGUCAUGCUUCUAGAAGGUUGCUAUCAUAUAAUGCAGGAAAAUCUAUGAGAAUUGAAACUUGUGAUAAUGGAAAAUAUUUUUGUGCCUCCACAAUAAUUAAUAAAUAUGAGUUGUCACAUACCGUAAAUAUUAUUUAUAUGGGCUUUUGAUUAUUAUAAUAAUGCUUAUGAAUAAAUAUGGAUAAUGCAGGAAUUAAAUGAGAGAAUUAAUGAUGCAGAUAAAUACCGAUUUACCUCCCGGCGAGGGUUUGGGAUUUUCAGGUCUCCCAAGCUGGACCUCCAAAUCUUUUAAUCGUCUGAAUUACAUUCCUCUGGAGAUGGUGUUUCCAGUGGUUCUUCUUUACUGGGGGUUCUCUUGAUUAUUGAGAUAUUCGUAUGCUGCCUCAAUGGUCCUCUGAUCUUUUUUCAAGUAUUCGUUUUGUUUGGUGAUGAUGUUGAACUUUAUCUUGGAACCAGCUUGGGUCUUCUGCUAUCUUGUCCAAAAGUAGUUCUGGUUUUCCAAGUGUAUGUUCAAAAAGUGACCCUCCAGUAAUUGCAUCUAGGCUCUCACGAGCCUUUUGGGUUAAUCUACAGUGGAAGGUUUGGAUAAGUAACCAUCUGGCCAAUCCAUGGAGAGGACAUUUUGAUAUGUAUCCUUUAAAACACUUCCAUGCUUCUGGAUUGGAUUCUGUCUUUUGUUGUUGAAAGCCGGUGAUCUUUCUUCUUAGGGCAACUGAUUUGGUCAAUUUGCCUAUGGGAAAGAACUUUGCUAUAAAAGCCUUUGAACAGUUUGUCCAAGUAUUGAUAUCUUCUUUGUUGGUGUAGAACCACUUCUUUGCUCUUCCUUCAAGUGAGAACCGAAAGAGACAAAACCGUAUGCUAUCUUGGUUGACUCCAUCCACUUUGAUUAUGCUCAUAAUCUCUAAGAAAUUCUGCAAGUGUGUCUUAGCAUCUUCAUGUGCCUUUCCACUGAAUUGUGUAACUUGUACCAAAUUGAUGAGGCUAGGCUUGGUUGGACGUUCAAGAUUUCCUUCUUUUGCGUCGUGUCCUAGACUAGUGCAAAUGUCUUCAAUGCUUAGAGCAGAAAAUUCUCGCAGAGUCUCUUGUAGCUAACUUCAAUGAUUGGUAGCUAACUUCUUCUUUCUUUCUUGAUUGCUUUGGUUCUAAUGAUGAAGAGUUGAAUGUACCAAAGUCAAUCCUGAUAUACCCUGUAUAAAAAUAUAAACAUAGAAAAACAACAGGGUGAACCUGCCAAAGCAGAUGUGCCUUGUUAUGAUUUCUCAUUUUUAUAGUAGCUGUUUAUGCAAUUAUUUCUCCAUAGUCUAGUCUAAUAUUUUAUGUGAAUAACCUUGACUGACUUCCUGACUUUCCUUACCGUUCCCCAGCAACGGCGCCAGAAAUGCUUGUUGACACUUACUAACACCACUUGGAUACUAGGUUGUCAUCCCCAGCAUGGUGCCAGAGUGUAGAAAUGUAUUCAUGAAUGUAAAGGCUCUCUAGAAAAUAAUCUAUUCUAUCCGCAAGCGUAUAGAUAAAAUACCUCAUUGUAGCAUUUCACCAGGAAAAGUAUUCUGGGUAUCUAUUGGGUAUUUUAAACGCAAACAGAAAAAUCUGGAAGUGCAUGGAUACCGAUGUAGCUUUCACCCAGGAGUAUUCCAGAGUAUCGAUUUUCCACAGGGAACGUGAGUGUACUAAUUAAGAUUCAAGAUCGCCCAAGGAUAACUAUAUAAUUAUUUUUGGUGGGAAGAGAGGAAGUUUCCUGAGAGUUCUCUAGUUGAUCUAAGAAUCAAGAAUUACUUCAAAGAUUACUUAUAUCGGGACAUCAGAACACUAACCACAGAAAGAGAUGAGAGGGGGGCUAGGAAGCUCUGACCACGGUCCUACAAACACCGAUCCGAACGAGGUGGAAUACGUCGACCGUUAGGGCUGUCACUACCCUAGGGCUACCACAACAAUCCGCAGGAUUGGGUGCAAUUCCAGGUAAUUGCAAGACUAAACACCACGUCUAAUCUAUUAAUUACUACUCUUGCAUUGCAAAGACUAGAGCACUAGAUGCAAGCGGGAAUCCAGUAAAUAAAUUGAAUGUAUAUAAAAGUAAUUAAAGAACUCAGAAAUUAUGAAUUGAAGAACCUAGAGAACGAUGAAGAACAAACCAGUUGCUGCAAAAGUACAAUGUUGAGGAAGAUCCGACAGAUCCGGCUCCUCCUCCUCCGCUCUCCUCUUCUCUCUCCCUAUUUUCUAGAUUACAACUAUAACUAACUAGAACUAGAACUAGAGGAACUAGAACUAGAACUAGAUGAACUAGAGGGAUCCUCUCUACUUGGAUGAAGAAUUGAAACCCUAGCUUUGUUUCUGUAGAAGAGGUAUGCCUCCAGGGGCCAGGGGGCCUUGCUUAUAUAGUCUUUUCAGAUGAAUUUGGGCCAUCAGAUCAAACCAACAUUAAUCGCACAGUUUUCCUUGAUCCCUUAGGUCGGUGGAGCACGGUCCGCAAAGUUGAUCGUGAUUGGUGGAAAAAGGUGGGUGGGCGCCCUGUCCCUGAGCCCUCUCGGCUUCCCGUUCGUUCCCGUGGCUUCUGGAGUCUUCUAGAUGAUAGAAAAUUGCACGGUAUGUUUAUAUCUCUAUGUAAACCCGACGUGUGGGCCUUUCCUCCGUAUUUCCUGAUAACCCCCUACAGAAAUAGACAAACACCAAAACUCGUGGAAUUCUGUCCGAUAAAUCCCUAAGUCUGGGUGUUGGUUGCAUAUAAGUCCUUUUCCAUGUUUAGUUGAUGGUUAAAUGUGAGCAUUAAGGACCGUCAACAAGCUCCCCCAAGCUUAACCUUUGCUCGUCCCUGAGCAAAGCUAAAAUCAGCAAGAAAACAGGGGUUACUUAAAUUAUCACUAAAGUCUUAAGUGAUUGAAGAACAGAACGAUCAAGUCAAGCACUAUGUCUCAAGUUCUUUUGUCUUACCUUUGUUCUGGAGUUUUUUUUUAAGUUUCCAGAAUAAAAAUGAGGCAUUUGCCUUCUUCUCGAAAGAUAUAUAAGUAGAGCUUUAAAAGUUUUAGCAUACAUACUUUGCAUUUUGCUAUGUCAAUGCUCGGAGCAAGGGAGAGGAAUGUCAUACUCCUAGAUCAAGACCUUUGACCUUUUUGAAAAGUUUGUCAUCUCUUACUAUCAUAUUGCUUAGAGGGACCAUGGGCUAUCAUUUUUUUUCUUUCUUUUUUUUCAGUCUCUCUCACUCUCUCUCUCUCUUUUUUCAAGUGGGCACCAAGUACCCCUAAUUCUACUUGUAAGAAUUACCUAACUCCUUGUGCUUGAUUCUCUUAUCAUGCCAUCAUUUUGUUCUCUCUUUAUAGAUCCUUGAAUUGUGGUAGGCUUUCUCUCUCCAUUCUCCUAGCUCAGAUAGUUUCAUCAGACGAUUCUCGCUUGCGAGGUGGAGAUCCAUGUUCCAUUUCUUGAGUGCCCAAUGAGCCUUAAACUCUACUUCCAUAGGCAAAUCACAAGUUUUCCAUAUACAAGUUGAUAAGGUGACAUGCCUAUGGGUGUUUUGAAUGCAGUUCUAUAUGCCCAAAGUGCAUCAGGAAGUUUGUCCUUCCACCCCUUACCCAUCUCAUCUACGGUCUUUUGUAAAAUAUUUUUGAUUUGUUUAUUAGAUGUUUCGGCUUGACCGCUAGUUUGAGGAUGGUAUGGUGUUGCGACGUUGUGUCGAACUCCAUGAUCGGCUAGGUACUUCCGGAAGAUUUUGUCGAUGAAGUGGGAACCUCCAUCGCUUAUAACUAUCCGAGGUAUACCAAAGCGAGGAAAGAUUACUUCAUGGAACAUUCUCUUGGCAUGUUUUGAAUCAGCUGAUCGACAAGGUAGGGCUUCUACCCAUUAGGACACGUAGUCCAUAGCUGCUAAGAUAUACUCGCAAUUACCGGACAUAUUGAAUGGCUCCAUGAAAUCGAUGCCCCAUACAUCGAAAAGUUCUACUUGAAGAUUAUUUGUGAGAGGCAUUUCAUUUCAUGAGUUGAUAUUCCCAUGUUUUUGACAUCGGUGGCAUCUCCUGACAAAGUCCUUUGUAUCUUCAUACAUCGUUGGCUAGAAAAAACCACUUUGCCAAAUUUUAGCAUGUGUCCGGAAUGCUCCGUAGUGUCCUCCAUAUGGCGAGGCAUGGCAUCUUUCCAUAAUUUGAGUAGCCUCAGCCAUAGGAACAAACUUUCUCAAGAGUCCAUCAGCGCAGACUCGGAAAUGAUAUGGCUCAUCCCAAAGGUGGAAACGACUAUUGUGAAGCAACUUCCUUUUGUUUGUACCAGGUGGGACAUAGCCUUUUACUAUAAAGUUUACGAAGUUUGCGUACCAUGGAUCUGCAUGUGUUAUCUUAAGCAGGGUGUCAUCCCUUAGGUAGUCAUUUAUGGGAAGCUCAUCAUGUGUUUCCUUAUAUUGAAGCCUAGACAAGUGGUCGGCUACGGAAUUCUCUACUCCCUUCCUGUCUCGGAUUUCUAUGUCAAAGUCUUGGAGUAGAAGAAUCCAUCGAAUUAGACGAGGCUUAGCAUCCUUCUUAGUGAGGAGAUACUUGAGAGCAGCAUGGUCUGAAUAGAUGAUUAUCAUUGCCCCCACUAAGUAAGAUCUAAACUUGUCUAUAGCAAAGACAACAGCCAAAAGCUCUUUUUUAGUUGUAGUGUAAUUGAGCUGUGGUCCAGACAAGGUUUUGCUAGCGUAGGAUAUGGCAUAAUGUUUUUUAUCCUUGGUUUGUCCUAAAACGGCACCAACCGCAAAAUCGCUAGCAUCACACAUGAUCUCAAAAGGAAGAUUCCAAUCAGGUGGUUGGAUAAUUGGGGCUAAGAUAAGUGCUUUUUUAAGAGUUUGAAAAGAUUCAUGACACUCAUCACUAAAGAUGAAAGGUGCAUCCUUACCUAGGAGACUAGUUAGGGGUCUAGCAAUUUGAGAGAAGUUCUUGAUAAAGCGUCUAUAGAACCCUGCAUGUCCCAAAAAGCUACGGAUUCCAUUCAAAUUUGUGGGAGGUGGUAGUUUUUCAAUAACUUCAAUCUUUUCUUUGUCCACCUCUAUACCACGUUCGGACACUUUAUGUCCUAGCACUAUUCCUUCCUGAACCAUAAAAUGGCAUUUCUCCCAGUUCAGGGUUAAGUGCUUUUCUUCACAUCGCUGCAAGACUCUAUCUAAAUUCUCCAAACAAUGAUCGAAGGUUUUGCCAUAGACGGUAAAAUCAUCCAUGAAAACCUCCAUGAUCUUCUCAAUCAUGUCUGAGAAAAUAGACAUCAUGCACCGUUGGAAAGAAGCUGGAGCAUUGCACAAUCCGAACGACAUUCGUCGGUAUCCAUAAGUUCCAUACGGGCAUCUAAAGGUAGUCUUUUCUUGGUCAUAUGAGUGGAUUGGGAUUUGGUGAUAUCCAGAAUAACCAUCAAUGAAACAAAAGAAAGAGUGGUUUGCGAGCCGUUCCAACAUUUCAUCAACGAAUGGUAAUGGAAAGUGAUCUUUCUUUGUAGCCUUGUUGAGUUUUCGAUAGUCAAUACACAUACGCCACCCAGUGACAAUUCGUUGAGGGAUGAGUUCAUUCUUCUCAUUCCUAACGACCGUCAUUCCUCCUUUCUUUGGCACAACUUGGAUAGGGCUAACCCACUCACUAUGUGGCACAGGAUAAAUAAUCCUAGCAUUAUAGAGUUUGAGGACCUCUUUCUUAACAACCUCUCGCAUAGCAUUGUUAAGUCUUCGCUGUGGUUCCCUUGAAGGUGUAAAAUUGGGAUCAAUAGAGAUACGAUGAGUGUAGAGAAUGGGACUAAUGCCCGUGAGAUCUUCGAGAGAGUAGCCAAAUGUUGAUCUAUGCCUUUCAAGAAUAGUGACAAGUUGUUGUGUUUCAUAAUCGGAAAGCUUGUCACUCAUAAUUACUGGGGUUUUUGGGUUGUUGUGCCAAAAAAAGACAUAUCUAAGGCCAGAAGGAAGAGGUUUUAACUCUAUCGAAGGAGGUGAAGGUUGUUCAUUUUUGUCUAGCUCAACGGGUUCUACCAACUCUUCUUCUUCUUGAAAAAAGUAUUCAUGAUUGAAGAAUGGUUGGGCCGUCUCCUCUUGAGUCAGCAUUAAGAUCUCCUCAAUAGGAUCGGGUUCAAGUUUGGGUUCCACUAUUGUGUUAAGUGAUCUAGCAAGAGGAACAACAAUAGUGGAAUUCCCAACCUUGAAGUCUAAAUGACCUCGUUGUGGUUGUUGUUGUAGAAGUUUCAUAAUUGGUCUGCCAAUUAAGAGAGGAAUCUCCGGUAUGUCAACAAUGUGAAAAUCUAGGCAUAUUCCAGAGUCCUUGAUUCUAAUAGGAACUGCCCUUAAUACCCCAUGGCUUUCUAGAAUUAAUCUAGAUGGACUUUGUAAAAGAUUUUGAGAUGGGCUUAUUGACUCGUUGGGAUAAAGAGUGUCAGCUAACUCCUCGGAAAUAACAUUUAUCCCAACAUAUGGAUUGUAGUGGACCUUCCUAGCGGACCUUCUAAUUUGGCACAAAAGAAUGGUUGAAGGAGUGAUGAUUCGAGCUACCUUAGGAGACAGCUCUGCUUCUGUUAGCCAUUCAUAACUCAGAAUAGCCAAAAGGCUUUUGAUGUGUUCUAUGUCAACAAAUUCUACUCUUAGGAUGGAUUGAGUGGUCGUUGCUAGAGGUCGUGUUUGGAUAUGAAAAUUCGAGGUGUUUCAAUAAUCUUCAAAAAGAUCUUCCUUGAAUUCAAAGGGAUGCUCUAAAGGUGGUGGAUCAUCAUCCCUUAGUUAGUUUUGCAUUCCUUUAUCAGGAGGUUUCUCUACAACCAAAUUAAUGGAUGGGUCAGGUGGAAUUUCUAACUCGGUUGCAAGUUCCUCAUAUUUUGGUUUAGGAUCAGGCUCGACUUCUUUCUCUUCUUCAGGAAACUCAUCAUAAAUGCCUGUGUAAGGGGUAUUUUCAAGGAUUCUCUCUAGGAUAGCUCUCCCCUCAUCUGUGAGGUUGUGUGUGAAUGAGCCUCCUGAAGCAAUAUCGUGGUGAAGAGCAUCUUCCUUGUUUAGACCACGAUAAAAGUGAGUACAGUACAUGGUCAGGCAAGGAAAGGUUUGGACCAGAAUUGCUAAGGCUUGUGAACCUAGCCCAAGCUGCUCCUAAAGUUUCCUUCUCUCUUUGUUUGAAUGUAAGAAUUUUGAUUCUAAGGUCAGCGAUUCGAAAAAGUGGAAAGAAAGCGAGACAAAAGUUGUCCCGAAGUUCAUCCCAAUUUCCAUUAACGCCUCCUACAGAAUGAGCAUACCACUUUUUUGCUCUUCCCAAAAGGGAGAACGGAAAUAAUUUCCAUUUAAGGGUUUCUUGUGUCAUGCCGGAAAUAGAUCGGCAAGAGCACAACUGCUCGAAUUCUCUAAGGUGGGUGUAUGGAUCUUCAUCUACUUGCCCAGAGAAGGGUUGCUCCUAAUUCAUGGCUAUCAGAUCAGGGCCGAGGUCGUAGCCAUCUGUAAGAAUUGGAUGGGAUGAUGGUGGUGGCUCUAAUAAAUCGCCCUUUGGAGCAAAGAAUUUAUAGAUAGGAGUGAAAUCCAUGUGGUAUGGUGAAAAUGGUAAGGUGAGUGUGGUAAAAAAAGGGCUGAGCCUGUUCUCUUCUCUCUCCUCCUCCUCCGCUCUCCUCUUCUCUCUCCCUAUUUUCUAGAUUACAACUAGAACUAACUAGAACUAGAACUAGAGGAACUAGAACUAGAACUAGAUGAACUAGAGGGAUCCUCUCUACUUGGAUGAAGAAUUGAAACCCUAGCUUUGAUUCUGUAGAAGAGGUAUGCCUCCAGGGGCUAGGGGCCUUGUUUAUAUAGUCUUUUCAGAUGAAUCUGGGCCGUCGGAUCAAACCGACAUUAAUCGCACGGUUUUCCUUGAUCCCUUAGGUCGGUGGAGCACGAUCCGCAAAGUUGAUCAUGAUUGGUGGAAAAAGGUGGGCGGGUGCCCUAAGGAGUAGGGCGGGCGCCCUUUCCCUGAGCCCUCUCGGUUUCCCGUUCGUUCCCGUGGCUUCUAGAGUCUUCUAGAUGAUAGAAAAUUGCGCGGUACAUUAAUAUCUCUAUGUAAACCCGACGUGUGGGGCUUUCCUCCGUAUUUUCUGAUAACCCCCUACAGAAAUAGACAAACACGAAAACUAGUGGAAUUCUGUCUGAUAAAACCCUAAGUCUGGGUGUUGGUUGCAUAUAAGUCCUUUUCCAUGAUUAGUUGACGGUUAAAUGUGAGCAUUAAGGACUGUCAACAGUAUCGUUAUUUAUAUUUUUGCUUAAGAGAACGGUGGAGGUCAAUAAAAUCUAUCAAGGCAUAGACUAGAGAUAAACUUGCAAGAACAUGAUUACUAAUGAGAAACUCGUCACACAGUCACUUGCUUUAGCAGGGGGUAAGCCAUAAUAACAAUGAUAAUGAAAUAUAAGCUCAUGGGUAAAUAACACAGCGAUUAGAAAAUAAACUACUCCUCAUAUAUGUAAGGUGACGUCGGAUUAGCUAGAGAAUGCAUUCUGAGUUAUCUACUAUCUACUAAGUCACAAUCUACUCUAGUUAUCUACAAGAUCAUAUAUAGCAUAAAAGACUCGUCAUUCAUGUAUAAGGAACAUUGCUAAAGUAAAUGAGAACAUCACAAUACUUACUCCGCAAUACAAAUUCUGCCUGUCCUAUCAACGGAGGGUGGACUAUAUAAGUGUCCACGAAGCUGUCACCAUCGCGAUCUACCACACGACUCGGCCAAUAGGAUACAUUUGCAGGUAAAUAACAUCUAAGCACCACGCCCACAUGUGAUCUACCACUUAGCUCCCACGUGUCAAGAGCUAAGCGCUUUGCAAACUUAUACAUAAACUCAUUAUCAAUCAUAACUAUAUCAAAUAUAGGACUAGACCAAACUAAGAACAUAAUAAAUAGAGACAUAAUGCAAUUAGAAUAAAGUAGUAGAGAAAGAUAUGAAAUAAUACCAAUCUUUAUUGAUGAAGAUCCGAAUCUAGGGCGCUAGGCUCUACUUCUCUAAUUCUAUCUAAUCAAUCCUAUAGAACUUGAUGGAACUAGGAGUUGCUAAUUCUUAUUCUUUGUGGGAGAGAAAUUUCUAAACCCUAACUUUGAUGGCUUCCUGUGAUAAUGAUUUCUCCUCCCCCCUGGGGUGGAGAGGCCUUGGCUAUAUAGGCCCCUCAGAUGAAUUUGGGCCGUUGGAUCAAACCGACAUUAAUCGCACGGUUUUCCUUGAUCCGUGAAGUUGGUUCUGAUUGGUCCUCAGACCAGGGCGGGCGCCCAAGGGGGGAGGGCGGGCGCCCUGUCCCCGGACCCGUCCGGUCUCCCGUUUGUUCCCGUGGCUUCUAGACUCUUCUGGAUGUUGGAUAAUUACGCGGUACGUUAAUAUCUCUAUGUAAACCCGACGUGUGGGCCUUUCUUCCGUAUUUCCUGAUAAACCCCUGCAGAAAUAGACAAACAACAAUACUCGUGGAAUUCUGUCAGAUAAAACCUUAAGUAUGGAUGACGAUUGCAUUUGGAUCCUUUUAUUUGUUUAUUUGGUAAUUAAAUUUGAGACUAAAGGACCGUCAAUAGACGCCCUGAAGAUGCUGCGUAUGGCAGGUCUGACCACCGCGCUCGUUCUCUCGGCAGUCCACCAUCGACGGGUACUCCCGUUGAUGUCUCAACUGUUGAGGAUGGACGAGAUGGGCCCUGUUGUUUCAUCUCGGGACCUGGAGGCAUGCCGCAUGUCCAACAUUGUGCCCUCAGACGAGGAGGUUGCUGCCAGGGUCAGUGCGGCUGUUGCGGGCGGCUUCCAGCCAGAGCAUGUCAACAGCCUACCCAUGAGGCCUGAGGAAGGCUGCCUCGAUCUGGUAAGCUCUUUUCGCUAUCAUUACUCGGUUCUUGUGGUAGGUCAUGUCGUUCUUUAUCUCAAUCUUUCAGGUUUCUCCAAGAGUUAUGCCUGCUCUGACAGGGGACGAUCGAUGCCCGGUCCUCGAAUCCUCUGGUGAAGGAAGACAACGUCGAUCGUGAAAAAGGCGUGCGUCCACAGAGAAGCAAAAGUCCGUAAAGGACAUAGAGAAGACAAAGGAAAAGAAGAAGAACCUCGAGCGGCAAACGCUCAAAAAAUGCCGAGCCAAGUCGAGGCGUGAGGGGGAGUCGGAGGAGUACUCUCCUGACGAGGACGAUGGAAAUGAUGGCGACGACGAUAGCAAUGACUCCAAGGGGAUGGCAUCUCGCCUCGACAGGAUCCUAGAAGACCCAUUGCGAACUGAUGUCGAUACAUCGCGCAUGGGGGCUUCCAAAACGCCACCAGGUAGGCCCCGCGAUGGGCGCCGGAAGGAGGCGUCGCCGCGCUGUUCGCUUGCCGACACCCUCCUACGCCCGUGCAAGGUCACAUCAUUUCUCAGCUGCAACCCCCUCUGGCGUCCGGCACGGGCCAUAGGGUGAAAACCUUGGCAACAGGGCCGUUGACUCGCGGCCGCGCCACCGUGGCGGUUUCGAGCCAGGAGCAAGGGCACCGUAGGAGUGCUAGUCCCGGCGUUCGUUCGGCGGGAAGCAUGGAACCGAGGCCCGUGCCCGCUCGGGAGAAGCCGGGGGCCACAACGCGGGGUGGCUCGAGACCUGCCGGUCGAGGAACUGGUAGGUGGGUGAUCCUUCCCGUAGGGUAAGGUCUACGUGUUGCGAUUUUGUUUUCGAUGUCUUGUUCGUCCAUCGGUUUCCACCUCUUUAAUCUACCUCUUCCUUUCUCAGGCUGAAGAGGCCAUUGGAACAGGCUCAGCCCUCGAUGACCAAGAGGCUCAAGGCGGGGGCAAGCUCCAAGGCACCGAGUGAGUGACUUGUUCCUCUUUUCGUGGUUCUAGUGUCAGGUUCAUUUAGUGCUGAGUCUCUUUGUGACCGACGUGUCGCUUUGGGGCGUGUACAAGUUCCCUCGACCCUCGACCACCCGCUGGCGAUGAUAAGACACCGCCUCGACCGUCGAAGGGGGUGAUAGCUCCAGAACCAUCCUGUCGUCCCCUGUACGGGGCAAGACGCCUCGUCCCCAUGGUCAGGAGGGAGCCCCCGAGCCACCCCAGUCAGGGGGAGUGGGCGACCCCAUCACUAUCAGCAAUGAGUCUGGUGGUGGUUCGCAUUCAACAGAUGCUCGUGCCAUGGACAAGGGGGCGAGACCCCUCAGAUUGAGGGAUGGACACCAUGGCCCAUCGGGCUCCAUUCCGUCGAGGAGAAGAAGAAGAAGGACGAGGAGGAGUGGAGGAAAGAAGAAGAACAGCGUCGUCCGCAGGGGCAGCUGUCACCUCAGCAAGAGGCGCAGGCACGGCAGUAGCAACAGGUGUAGGAGCAGGAGCAGCAGCAGCCAUAGUUGCAGGAGGAGCAGCAGCAGGAGAAGGCACAGCAGGAGGUGUCGGAGCAUCUGCAGCAAGAGCAGGGGGCGCAAGUGCAUCUCGAGGAGUAGUUGGAACAAUGUUGGUAGCAAGAACUGUAGGAGCUUCAACAGCAGCAGCAGCAGCUGCUGGAGGGGCUGUUCGAGCAGCCACCGCAAGAUCUGCACAAGCCAUGGUCGCUGCCACCGCAAGGGCCCAAGGCCGGGGAAGAGGAGCUGCCAUUCUAUGGUCCCCCGACUCCCGUGUGGCUCUGCCCUGGGGGGCAUGUUACCAUCCUGGCCGAGCCAGGGCGGGCGGACGGUGUCGUGGCGCUUGCGUGUGGCAUGCGCACAUUGGUGGAUCCCCGCUCUGAGAUCAAAGGUACCAUUUAUGGUAUCGACGGGAUCGCCCCGAGGUUCCUCUAGGGUCAACGGCCUUGGCAUUUUAACGCCGGCGGGGGAGACGAGGCUGGGACCUUUGGCGGCAGCGACACUAACGAGGCCAGGACUUGGAGGUCGGUGGAUGAUGACGGGCGGUUUCCCUCCCUCGUUGAUCUGUUCCUACGCACGGGGGCUUACUCGAGAUAGUGCAAGAACUCAUCCAGGGCGUUAAGGCGCGCACAGAGGAGGAGAUGGAGCACUGGGGCCUAGGGAGGAUCCGCCUUCGAGCCUCCACUUCUCCGGACGAGCCCAACAUCAUGAUGGACGACCAGAAGGAGGCGAAGAAGUGGGAGCACCUCGAGGAGCUUCAUCUUUGGAUGAAGCACGUUGUGGGCCUCAUGUCCGACAUCGUCAAUAACGGGCUCGGCCAGGCUUUCUUUGUAAGUAUCUUUGGAUUUUUGUUAUUCGGGAGCUUUUGUUAGGCCUGCAUUCUUACUACCUUGUGAUCUACUGCAGGAUUUGAAGGAGACGUCCUACCUAAAGUUGGGUUUUAUCCAUGCGACGAGGGGCGGUUGGGAGCAGCUCCCUCUUCUUAAGGAUCAACUCCUCGAGUCACAAGAAAAGCUCCUUUAGGCCUACAAGGAUCUUACGGCAGCCUUGGAGGAUAAGAAGGAGAGGGAAGCUGCUCUAACCGAGGCUCGGAAUACUCUGUCUACUAUGGACAACAAGGUCUCCUGGGCGGAGGAGGAUGCCCAAGUCGCUUGAGAGGUCUCAGAGAGGGCAAAGGAGUUAGCCGCACAAUCGAGGGAGCGGGCUGCCUUGGCUAAGGAGGCGGCUACCAAGGCCCAGGAGGAGGCCGCGCGGCAUAAGGGCGCGGCCGUCGAGCUGGACAAGGAGAAAAAGCUUGUCGAGUCUGAACUCGUUGCCACCUGAAGUGCCUACCACGGAAUAAAAGAGGAACAUUUGAAGAGCGAAAUUGCUCGAGGCACUGCAGAGGAGGCUGAGAAGAAGGCCCGCGAGGAUCUCGAGAUAGAGCAAAUCCGUUCUCGCGGCCUUUCUGACAAUGUUGAUCGUCUGAAGAGAAUGCUGCAAGAGAAGGAGGAAGCUAUCUUAGAGUCAGGUAAGAUGAUCGAGGACCUGUGGGUCAAAAAUACAGAUCUAGCUCGCUCCUAGAAGGAGAUCGAGAUGGCCAACACCGACAUAGUUGGUGAGAUCAUAGCUCUAGAGGAAAAGAUUCGCGGUAAGUUUUUCGUGCUCUCGUGUUUCUUUUGUCUGGUUUUUCUUUCAUAUCGUCUAACCCUCCUGUCUCGGUCUUUGUAGGGCUUGAGGAAGAUCUGCUGGCCGCCCAGGUGGACACCCGAUCUUCUAAGGCUCAGCUCGAGGCGGAGGUCACUCUAACCAGUCGACUAAAGACUGCGAUAAACGACCUCUCGACCUCCUAGGAGCUCGAGCCAGUGGAUGAGUCAAGGAAGGCCGCUCGAGGUGACGCCCUAGUUGAUCAGCUAUACUACCUGGGUGCCACUCUGAGGGAUCAGGUGUGAGACGCACUUCAUACCGGGGUGAAGCGGGCAAUGGCAGUUGUCUGCUCGGGCUUCUCCUACGAUAUGGAUGUGGUGUCCCAUGGUUUCGUCACCGACAUCUCCAAGACUGACGCUGAGAACAAGGUGAGGCUCCAUGCCUUGAUCGACGACGCGGAAGUUCCUGGCGAGAGGAUGGCGAAACUGUUCGAGCUAGAGGUGCUGCCCCCGAGACUGGUGCGGUCGCGGAAGACUAAAGGCAGAAGGGAAGACAGAGGGGCUGUGAGCCUAAUCCGGGUGUCAGGACCCAUUGUAAUAUACUUGUUUCGAUUAAACGCUAUGGCUCGAGUGGCCUUAAGACUUGUCGUUUUCAUGUAUAUUUGUUUAUUUUUAUGCUCGAGUUUCUUUUACUUCCUUUGAUGCCUAAGUCUGCGUUCCUCAAUCGAUCUUUCAUUAGCGUGACUUCGAUUACCUUGAGGGUGAGGGAGUGAGUAGAGUUACCGUUGCCCGGAGGCGUAGGGGUUCUCAGGCUCGACGUCCCUCGGCCCUUAAGUGGCUCGAGGUGCCUUUAUUACUCGGUCAUGCUUGGUUUCCUUAGGGCUUGAAAUGUAAGAGAGAUAACAUUGAGCUUAUUUGAAAACUCGUUUGAUUUUUAGAAACCUGUGGGGGGUACCCCCUGCUAGCCCUCGAGGGAGUGUCGACUAUGAUGGGUCAUAGUCGAGACUUCCUCCUAAUGUCGAGGUUUAACUGGUAAUUGUUGGGCAUUCUUAACGUCACUACCAAAAGUAGACUUAGUUUUCUAAUUCUGAUAACGGCGCCAAAAAUGCCGAACCUAUCCCUCAUGCCACUUAAGCCAAGUUGUCAUCCCCAGCAUGACAUGAGAGACGCGAUAAUGAAAUAUGCAAUUGCUCUUCUGAAUAAGUAAUAAAUGAGAUAUGCAAGCGCACAGAUUAAUACCGAUGUAGCAUUUUAACCGGGAAGUAUUCCAAGUAUCAUUAUUUAUAUUUUUACCACUAGGAAGGGAUUACUAGACAUCAAUGUUGAUUAUGGAAUGCAAUAUAGAAUUGAGUAUCUAUCAUUGCAUGUAUAAUUGAGAGCAUUUAUAUAUCUCUUUCAUACAGGGAUAAAUGUCACAUAAAGGAUAGAUAAAGUAUAAAUGGUGACAAAGAUAAUUAAAUAGAUCAACAUAACUUAGCCACAUAUAAAUAUGAUAAGCACCUCAAUAGAUAUUCUAGCAAGUCAUUAGCAUGGAAUUAGGACGAACUACAAGAAUAUUUCCUAAGUUAUUCUUAACUAUAAAGUCAAGCAUAUCAUAGUUAGUGCAAUUAUACUUGGCAAUCAAUGCUAGACAGGACUACGCCCAUGCAUAGUGAUAUUAUCAAGGUAAAUGAGAAACAUAGCAAUCACUCCCCUGUAAUAAUGUUCUCUGCCAGCCCUAUACAUGAGAGGGGGACUAUAUAAGAAUCAAUGGAGCUGUCACUACCACAAACUACCCCGUGAUCCGGCAUAUAGGGUACAAUCGCAGAUAAAUAUGAUAUAGGCACCACGCCUACACAAUACUUAUCAUUUACCCACUGUACACAUGGAUAAACGCUAUAUAAUCCUAAACAUGUAUAUAAUUCCAAUCUAACUAAGCCAAGCAUAUAACUAUGAUAAACUAAGAACAAUAUAAUUGCAAAUAUAAACAAGUAGAGCAAAGUCAUAAUUAAUAUAUUGAAGUAGAACAAAGUCAUAUUCAUAAUAUUGAAGAACAAAGAUGAACAAUUGAAGAACAAUAGAGGAAUUACCAAGAAUCCUCUUGGCAGAUCCAGAAACCAAUCGAAGAUUGACUCCUUCUAGUUCUAAUCCUACGUAGCUAUGAUAAACUAGAGAUCUAUUGAUGUGGUGGCUCUAAGGGCAUGAUCAGAGGCUUCUUCUCCCGAGAUGGAUAAUGAAUUAGUGUUCAGAGGUCCCCUACUCCAGGGGCCAGGGGGUCUGCUUAUAUAGUCCUUCCAAAUGAAUGUGGGUCGUCGGAUCAAACUGACAUGAAUCGCACGGUUUUCCUUGAUCCUUUAGGUCAAUGGAGCAUGAUCCGUGAAGUUGGACCUGAUUGGUUGCCUGGCCAGGGCGGGCGCCCAAGGGGGGAGGGCGGGUGCCCUGCCCCGGGCCCGAUCGUCCUCCCGUUUGUUCCCGUGGCUUCUGGACUCUUCUAGAUGUUGGAUAACUACGCAGCACGUUAAUAUCUCUAUGUAAACCCGACGUGUGGGCCUUUCUUCCAUAAUUCCUGAUAACCCCUGCAGAAAUAGACAAACACCAAAACUCAUGAAAUUCUGUCAGAUAAAACCCUAAGUCUAGUUGCUGGUUGCAUUUGGAUCCUUUUCUUUAUUUAUUUGCUGAUUAUAUUUGAUACUUAAGGUCCAUCAACAGUAAUAACAUGCAUUACUUUGAAAAAGUACUUUUGUUUAUUCAGAUAUUCGUUCACAGGGUCUCGAUACAAUACGUGCAUGAAAAUGUAAAGCCUCGAAGCUCUAAGGGUAGAAGUGAUGUUGCUGUUUGCUGUUCCAUGCGUUGGUGAAGAACGCCCCCUUUUCAUCCGCUAGCUUGUACGUUCCUGGCUUCAAGACCUCGGACACCACGUAUUUGCCCUCCUAAGGUGGAGUUAGCUUGUGGCAUCCUUGAUUGCUUUGUCGUUGAUGCAGGACGAGGUUGCCUACGUUUAGGUAUCUUUUGCGCACAUGUUUAUCAUGGUAGUGUCAGAGCUUAUGCUGGUACCUUGCUGAGUUGAGGAGGGCCAUGUCUCGAGCUUCCUGGAGCUGGUCGACCAUGUUCUCUCGAGUCUCCAUGUUCGUCUACUCGUUGUAGGCUUUGAGUCGAGGUGACCCAUACACGAGGUCUGUUGGUAGCAUAGCCUCGGAGCCAUAGACCAUGAAGAACGGGGUAUACUUUCUAGCUCUGCUUUGCGUUGCUCUUAAGAUCCAAAGGACUGAGGAGAGUUCCUCGACCCACUUUUUGCCGAACUUUUUCAACCGAUUGUAGAUUCUAGGUUUGAGCCCUUGCAAGAUCCUGCCAUUGGCUCGUUCGGACCUCGCUGUUAGUUCGAGGGUGAGCUACUACGGACCAGUUAACACGGAUGUGGUGCCGAUCACAGAAGUCCAAAAACUUUUUGCCAGUGAACUGUGUGCCAUUGUCGGUGAUGAUGACGUUGGGUAUCCCGAACCGGCGGACGAUGUCGGUGAAGAAGAGGACAGCCUGUUUGGUGUGGAUCUUUGUGAUGGGUCCAGCGUCGAUCCAUUUGGAGAACUUGUCGAUGGCUACCAGCAAAUGGGUGUAUCCACCCACUGCCCUUUGGAGAGGGCCUAUGAGAUCGAGGCCUCAUACUGCGAAUGGCCAAGUGACGGUGAUCAUCUGCAAAGCGUGGGCAGGGAGGUGGGUUUGCUUGGCAUAGAAUUGGCAACCGUGGCAUGAGCGAACGAGCUCGAUGGCGUCAGCAACGACAGUUGGCCAGUAGAAACCUUGUCGGAAGGAAUUUCCCACGAGGGUCCUUGGAGCCGCAUGGUGGCCACAAGCCCCUGUGCCUAGGUCGACGGAUAGCUCAUGCAGGUCCCUUGAAAAUGCAUCUGGUGGGACAGUGCCUUGAGUGGACGCAAUCUUGGCGAGCUCUCGGCCGCUUCAUUGUAUCAUUGCGCGAUGUGAAUGAGCGCAAGGGCAUGCAACUUGUCCUCGAGCUUGCGUACUUCCUUACAGUAAGCUUCCAUCUAUGGGUCGUGGCAGCUCGAGGCCUUCAUGACCUAGUCGAUGACCAGUUGAGCAUGGUAGGAUUGGGCGGAGCUGUGAUGGCGUAAUGGCAUGGUUUCUAGCUGUCGCUCUGUGUUGGCCGGGACGAGAGCGCAGGCGUCAGGGUCUUCCUUGGGCUUCUUGUUGAGGUCGUAGGGGAUGACAUCCCAAUCGUCGUGGAACUCUUCGGCCAUUGGAGCAGCGAGGGACUAAGCAAGCUCUAGUUGAAGAAGAAGAGAAGUCUUGUAUGAAUUGGUGUUUGAAAACUGACGUCAGGGGUCUGUUUAUAUAGGGGUCAAAAAGUGCCUCUAGGGUUUUCUCGGGCUACUCCCGCCGCCGUGCGUGCGAAACUUUCCAUCUGUAUGAUUAUUUAGUUUACCAUAAAUGUAUUUAUCAUGAUGGAGGAAAUCGGGACUGAGAGGGGACAGGGGCUGGGCACCCGCCCUCAUCAUCAGGGCGCCCGUCCUGUGCUUGGCCCCUCUGUGGGCCCGCUUCCUCAAGCAUGCUUCUAGAUGCAAAACUUAUUCGAAAAAUAUAUACGUGGUCCAAAAACGUCAGAUUAAAAAGGUCGGGCUCUGAUUCUCCAUGGGAAGGUAGAAAUGGAUUACGUCUAUUUCUUCUAAUUCUUUAUUGGGCUCUACAAAUAAUUUAAGACGUUUACCAUUUACCUUGAAUAACGUACCUUCGUCAUUUUGAAGUGUGAUAGCUCCGUGGGAUGAUGAAUUGAUUACCUUGAAUGGUCCUUCCCAUUUACUCCAGAGUUUUCCAUGCCCAAAAAGCUUCACCCUGGAAUUAAAAAGUAAUACCUUAUCUCUGGGUGCGAACUCCUUCUUCUUGAUCCUCUUGUCAUGCCACCUUUUGACUCUUUCUUUAUAGAUAUUCGAAUUGUGAUAUGCUUUCUCUCGCCAUUCUUCCAAUUCUGAUAGUUGCAUUCUUCUAUAAUCUCCAGCGACAUCUAGGUCCAUAUUCCAUCUCCUUAUGGCCCAGUGUGCUUUCAAUUCUAGUUCAACAGGUAGGUGGCAAGUCUUCCCGUACACCAACGGGUAUGGGAACAUUCCAAUUGGGGUCUUGUAUGCUGUCCGGUAUGCCCAGAGUGCAUCAGGUAACUUGUCCUUCCAUGCCGUUCCCAUCUCAUUGACUGUUUUCUGAAGAAUAUUCUUGACUUGCUUGUUGGAAGUCUCUGCUUGGCCACUUGUCUGAGGAUGGUAGGUGCUAGUGACAUUGUGACGGAUUCCAUGUUUUGAUAGAUAGUGCUUGAAGCGUUUGUUGAUGAAGUGUGCUCCUCCAUCACUUAUCACUACUCUAGGGACUCCAAAUCUUGGAAAUAAAAAUUCUUCAAACAUCCUCUUUGAACUGAUGUUGUCGGCAUGCUUGCAAGGUAGUGCCUCUACCCACUUGGAGACGUAGUCAACUGCCACCAAGACGAACUCACACUUCUUUGAUGGGGGAAAUGGACCCAUGUAAUCUAUUCCCCAGACAUCAAAGAGCUCAAUUUGAAGGUUGUUGGUAAGUGGCAUGGCAUCUCUUGCGUUUAUGUUUCCGUGCCUUUGACAUGGCCCACAUCUUCUAAUAUAUUGCUUCGUGUCUUCAUACAUUGUAGGCCAGUAGAAUCCACACUACCAGAUCUUUGAAUGUGUACGGAAUGCUCCAUAAUGACCUCCAUAUGGUGAUGAAUGACAUCUGUCGAUGAUCUUCCAUCCUUCCUCAGUGGUCACACAUCUCCUAAGUAAGUCAUCAGAGCAUACUCGGAAGAGGUAUGGCUCAUCCCAUAUAUGUGAACGACUUUCUUGAAUAAGCUUCUUCUUGUUCGCUCCUGGUGGUACAUACCCUGAAACCAUAAAAUUAACAGUAUCUGCAUACCAGGGGUCAGACCUAUUAAUCCUGUAGAGCAUGUCGUCCCGGAGUGAAUCAUUGAUGGGGGUUUCCUCUGGAAUCUUAAAAUACAUUAUAGACAAGUGAUCAGCAACAGAAUUUUCUACUCCCUUUUUUAUCUUUUAUUUCCAUGUCAAAUUCUUGAAGUAAUAAGAUCCAUCUAAUCAGGCGAGGUUUAGCAUCUUUUUUAGUGAGCAGAUAUUUUAGUGCAGCAUGAUCAAUGUAAACAACUAUUUUAGCUCCAAUUAAAUAAGAUCUAAAUUUAUUAAUGGCAAAGACAACAGCCACAAGCUCUUUUUCAGUGGUUGCAUAAUUAAGUUGAGCUCCUGUCAAAGUUUUAUUGGCAUAAGCAAUUGCAUGAUGCUUCUUAUUUUUAGUUUGUCCCAAAACUGCCCCCAUAGCAUAAUCACUGGCAUCACACAUAAUUUCAAAAGGCAACGACCAAUUAGGGGGUUGAAUGAUUGGUGCAAAGAUGAGUGCAUUCUUCAAUAAAUUGAAAGAUGUUAGACAUGCAUCAUCAAAUUCGAAAGGAGCAUCCUUGGCUAGCAAAAGAGUAAGUGGUCUAGCAAUAAAUGAAAAAUCAUUUAUGAAUCUGCGAUAAAAACCAGCAUGGCCAAGAAAGCUUCGAAUUCCUUUUAUAUUCACAGGUGGAGGUAAUUGUUCAAUUACUUCAAUUUUAGCUUUGUCUAACUCAAUACCUCUUUCAGACACUUGGUGUCCCAACACUAUUCCUUCCCUAACCAUAAAAUGACAUUUUUCCCAAUUAAGGACUAAGUGCUUUUCUUAACAUUUUUGCAAAACCUUGUCUAUGUUUUCAAGACAACUAUCAAAAGUUUUUCCAUAAACAGAGAAAUCAUCCAUGAAAACUUCCAUAAUUUUUUCAAUCAUAUCAGAAAAUAUAGACAUCAUGCAUUUUUUAAAAGAAGCUGGUGCAUUACAUAACCCAAAUGACAUUCUACGGUAAGCAUAAGUUCCGUAUGGGCAUGUAAAAGUGGUUUUGCUUUGAUCAUCGGGAUGGAUUGGGAUCUGGUGAUACCCUGAAUAUCCAUCUAAGAAACAGAAGAACGAAUGGUUCGCUAAUCGCUCUAGCAUCUUAUUUAUGAAAGGUAAAGGAAAAUGAUCCUUUUUCGUGGCUUUGUUUUGUUUUCUAUAGUCUAUGCACAUCCGCCACCCUGUGACGGUGCGUUGCGGAAUUAGCUCAUUCUUUUCAUUCAUAACGACAAUCAUGCCUCCCUUUUUAGGCACAACUUUAACUGGGCUCACCCACUCACUGUGCGGCACAGGAUAUAUAAUCCCUGCAUGCAGCAACUUUAUAACUUCCUUUUUAAUUACCUCUCUCAUCGCGUUGUUAAGUCUAUGUUGAGGCUCUCGAGAAGGUGAAAUGGAAGGAUGUGUCGGAAUACGAUGGGUACAAAUCAUAGGACUGAUUCCUGUAAGAUCUUUGAGUGAGUAGCCAAAAACUGAGUGAUGUUUCUCAAAAAUGGUCAUCAAACGCAGAGUUUGCUCCUAAGUGAGUUUAUCACUAAUGAUCACAGGAAACUCUGGAUUAUUAUUUAGGAAAGCAUAGAUAAGACCGGGUGGUAAAGUUUUAAGCUCUAUGGGAGGUCUAGGCAUUUCUGCAAAUUCGUCUAAGGGUUCAGGUUCAGAAGGUUCAGCCUCUUCUUCUAUGAAGAAAGGAGCUUCGUCUUCUAAGUCUGGUUCAUCUAAAAGCUCUAGAGAUGCAGCCUUUACCUCCUCCAUAGGAUCAGGCAAAAGAUAUGACUCGGCCUUAUUAUUUAAGGAGUGUGAAAUUGUUAUUGGAAAUUUAAAAGUUUUUCCAAAAGAAAAGUGUAGCUUUCCAGUAUGACCUUCAUAAAGGAGUCUUCUAAAAGGUUGUCCUACCAACAGGUCAAAUUCCCAUGUAUCAAAGAUAUAGAAGUUCAAAUGAACCAUGGAGCCUUCUACCAAUAAGGGUAGGACAUUAAUAAUUCCAAGAUUGGGGACUAAUCGUCCCGAAGAUUCCUUUAUGACCUUUUUUGUGGGGGUUAAGACCAAAUUUUUAAAUAAUUUUAGUGCAAAAGAUUCAGACAUGAUGUUGAUCCCCACAACAGCAUUAUAGGGAGCAUCAAAUUGUUCAGAAUCAUAUGCACAGCGUAUAGUUAUAGGAGGUGUGUCCAAACGGAUCACAUCAGAGGAAAGCUCUGACUCCUCCAACCAUUCGCUACUCAUGACUGCUGUUGAUAUUUGGGAACGCAAUAAGGAAUUGAUCCGCAAGCGCACGGAUAUCGGUGAGCACUUCACCCGGGAAAUUAUCCAGAGUAUCGUAUUUAUUUUUUUACCACUAGGAGAAAGAGUGCAUCUGACUAACCAGUCUAUUACUACUAACCUUUAGGCACAAAGAAUGUCUUUCGAUGUGAGUGAUAAAUAGAGAAGACUGCAACCGUAGUCUCCUUCUAACCUUGGUAAGGAUGAUCUACUAUUCUAAUGGGGAGGCUAACGGAAUCUAGACACCACAGAGGAUGUUCAACCCGCACCUAUAAACCCUAUCCUUCCUGCUAACGAGAUAUGAUCUACAAAGGUAGCUCGGAAUUGUCACGUUCCUCACUACUACCACGGUCCAGCUAGUCAGGGAAUAUUUAUGAGUACCCCAGCCUAAACACCAAGUUUACGCCAGCAAUGAUUACUCUAAACUCUAUGCGAAGAGAUUAAAGUAAACUCAUAAACCAUAAGAACAAUAAAACAAGAACUUACUAGAAUUUAGAAGUCGAAUUACAGAAGAAUCCUAGGAGCAAGCUUCGGGUUAGGAGAACUUGAUCCCGCAGGUACAAGCUUGGAGUAGACACCGACAGGCCGGGCUUCCUCCACUCUACACCUCCACUCUAUCUCUCUCAAUCUAGUAGAAACUAGAAGAUCUAUUUCUACCUUACAUUGAUUGCUAAGCCUAAAAAGAAAUAUUAAUUAGAGAAGAGGUUUUCCUUCGAGGGCACCCCUCAGUCUCUAUGAUAAUUUCUUCAUGUCUUCUCCAGGGGCCAGGGGGGCCUUGCUUAUAUAGUCCUCCCCUUCUAUGUGUUUUUGGGUCGAUAGCCGAGGUGGUACUAUGUUUUUCUUGAUCCAAUAGGUCGGUGGAAUAUCCCGAACGAAAGAGUCCUGAUUUGGCUCCAGCAGGGGGGGCGGGCGCCCAGGCUACCAGGGCGGGCGCCCUGGGCCUGGCCCAGUUUCGCCUCCGCUUCGGUCUCGUGGCUUCUGGAGUCUUCUAGAUGAUGUAAAAUUGCGCGGUGCAUUGAUAUCUCUAUGUAAUCCCGACUGUUGGGUAUUCUUAACAUCAUUACUAAAAGUAGACUAAGUUCUAAAUCUAGCAACGGUGCCAAAAAUGCCAAACCUAUCCCUCACACCACUUAAGCCAAGUUGUCAUCCCCAGCAUGACAUGAGAGACGCGGUAUUGAAAUAUGCAAUUGCUCUUCUAAAUAAAUAAUAAAUGGGAUCUGCAAGCGCACAGAUUAAUACCGAUGUAGCAUUUUAACCGGGAAGUAUUCCAGGUAUCGUUAUUUAUAUUUUUACCAUUGGGAAGGGAUUAACAAUCAUCAAUAUUGAUUACAGAAUCGAAUAUGAGAUUGAGCAUCUAUCAUUGCAUGUAUAAUUGAGAACAUUAUAUCUAACUCUUCAUACAGGGAUAAGUGUCACAUAAAAGAUAUAUGAAGUAAUAAUAGUGACAAGGAUAACUAAUCUGAUCUAGCCACAUAAUAAAUAUGAUAAGCACCUCAAUUAGAUACUCUAGAAAGUCAUUAGCAUGGUAUUAGAACGAACUACAAGAAUAUUCCCUAAGUUAUUCUCAACUAUAUAGUCUAGCAUUAUCAUAGUUAGUGCAAGCAUACUUAGCAAUCAUUGUGAGACAAGACUACGCCCAUGCAUAGUGAUAUUAGCAAGGAAUAUGAGAAACAUAGCAAUCACUCCCCUGUAAUAAUGUUGCUCUGCCAGCCCAAUACACGAGAGGGGGACUAUACAAGAAUCAAUGAAGCUGUCACUAUCACGAACCACCCCACGAUCUGGCAUAUUGGGUACAAUCGCAGAUAAAUACGGUAUAAGCACCACGCCUACACAAUAUCUAUCAUUUACCCAUGGAUCCGAUGGAUAAACGCUAUACGAUCCUAAGCAUGUAUAUAGAUCGUAUCUAACUAAGCCAAGUACAUAACUAUGAUAAACUAAGAACAAUAUAAUCUUGAAUAUAAGCAAGUAGAGCAAAGUCAUAAGCAAUAUAUUGAAGUAGAACAAAGUCAUAUUCAUAAUAUUGAAGAACAAAGAUAAUUAGAAAGCAAUUAGAAGCACAAUUAGAGAAUUACCAAGAAUCCUCCUGACAGAUCCGGAAACCAAUCGAAGAUUGACUCCUUCUAGUUCUAAUCCUAUGUAGCUAUGCUAAUCUAGAUGUCUAAUUGAUGUGGUGGCUCUAAUCUUGAUUAGAGGCUUCUUCUCCCUUGAUGGAACAAUGAAUUAGGGUUGAGAGGCUCUCUCCUCCAGGGGCCAGGGGGUCUGGUUUUAUAGUCCCUUCAAGUGAAUAUGGGCCCUUGGAUCAAACCGACAUAGAUUGUAUGGUUUAGAUUCAUCCUUUAGGUCGGUGGAGAUCUCCCGCAAAGCAGAGUCCUGAUUGGACUCAGGGGCAGGGCGGGCGCCCUGACCAACUGGGCGGCCGCCCAGGGUCUGGCCCCGUUUCGCCUCCGCUUCGGUCUCGUGGCUUCUGGAGUCUUCUAGAUAAUUGCGCAGCACGUUAAUAUCUUUACGUAAUCCUGACAUGUGGGCCUUUCUUCCAUAUUUCCUGAUAACCCCCUGCAGAAAUAGACAAACACCAAAACUCGUGGAAUUCUGUCAGAUAAAACCCUAAGUCUAAAUGUUGAUUUCAUUUGGGUCCUUUUCUUUAUUUAUUUGAUAAUUAAAUUUGAUACUUAAGGACCGUCAACAAACUCCCCCAAGCUUACCUCUUGCUCGUCCCUGAGCAAAGAUAGACUCAGCUAUGGAUCAUAAGUUGUUGCAAUAUAUAUAUAUAUUUUUUUAAAAAAAAAUUUGACGGUACACAUGCUUUAUAAAUAAGAUCUCAUCUGUGAGUAAGAGUAAACUGUCAAGACUUAAAACUUACUUUCUUUACCUUCACCAUGGGACUUGUAACCGUCACUUCUGUCUUGAGUGGUUAAAAGAUAGAACAGUCUAGCCAAGUGCCAUGUCUCUUAUUCUUGAUCAGCUAUAGCUCUGGGGUUUUUGUAGAUUUUCAAAUAAAACUCAGAAAUUCCUUGUAUGAUUCUCUCAUGUCUCUCUUUUGUGGUAUUUUUGGAUCCUUACCAAGGCAUUGAUGGUAUAUGCCUUCUCUCAAGAUAUGUGGUAUUUGUGGUAUGAGGCAUAGUGACAUUGCCUUCUCUCUCACCCUACUCUAAUAAGGCUUUAAUAUCUGGAGCUCAUAGGUGGGAGAUAAAAUAUACAUACUUACAAGACAUUUAUUGCAUAGUCAAACCAUGGAUCCAAAGUAACAAGCCAAUAAGUUUAAUCAAGAUGUGCAUGGGUGGCGAAUGAAUGGUGUAUGGUGGUGAUGGUGAUAACAAUGGUGAAAACAAUGGUGGUGGAAGUCUAAUUCUACUUUGCUCUUUUGAGGGGAUACAUACCUUCCUUGCUAUUGAAACUUUAUGAGGAGAAUGAGAUGCUCUUCUUUUUUUUCAGGUGGGUAUCUUGCACCCCUAAUUCUACUGUCGGACACUUGUCCAUUUUUACCUCUCGUCUCACUUUUUCUUUUCUUUUGAGGUUCCGAGCACUUGCUCCUUUUUAUUUCCUCGUAUAUAUUUUUUUCUCUUUUUUUAGAGCACUCAUCUCUUGAGAUAAUAUAGCAAGUGGUAGUAACAAGAUAACUUGAGCAUUUAUUUCACAAGGGGAAAAUAGAAAUAUUUUUGGUUAUUCUCUCCCGGAUUAGGAGUAGAAUAUUUUUGGGUGAUUCUGGAGAUGGAAUGGGUGGAUAUAUGUGGAUGGUACUUCUGGAGUAGAAGUAGCAUAUAUGAGUGAACGUGCAAGUGAAUCUUGAUUUAACCACAUGACAAGCUCCUAAGGGUCUACACAGCUUGACCACACUCAAUGCUCAUAAGCAGUAAAUAUUAAAUGUGUGGCUCAAAGUCUAGCAAGCAUGUAUAUAUGGCUGUGGUAGGAAUUUAAACUCUCAUCAUACAGGAACUCAUCAUGCAACAUUUUAAAGAUUUUCAAAGAUAAAAUUCUCCAGAAUUCUAGCAUCUCUAGGAACAUAUAAACAGCAGCUCAACCUUCCCAUAUCAUAUCCGUUAACAACUUAGACUUCAGAUCAAGUUUUCAUCCCACAAGUUUAGGUCUAGAGCAAGCUUUAAAUUAUAACAGUUAUAUCUAAACUUGAGAGAGAACUUAAAAUUUACAAAUUAGGCAGAGCAACUAUUCAUCAUAUCCAUGCUUAAGUUUUAUUUAGAUACAGAUUAGCAUAGCCACUUUAUUUAUUUAUUAAACACACUAAGCAAAAGACAUAUAUAAGCAUAAAAUCUUUAUUUGGUUUUCCCAUAGUUUAUGUGUAUUUUAAUAUUCUAAAAUAAUAUAAGUAUAAAGAUAGAUAGAAAUACUUAUCGUGAUAAAUGGGGGUGCUCUCCCCCAAUCUGAAUUUUGACGUAAUUUCUCUUGGUGUAGCUAGCAGGUGGUAGAGGUGUAUUUGAAAGUCAGCAGCAUUCUGACAGCGAUUAGAAUGUCCUCCGUCUGCUAGUCUUCUUGAUUCUUAAAUUUCUGUGGAGAUCAAAUAGACAACAAAGCUUGUGGAACUUGAUUAAGUGUUAGCAUAAAUAUCUAGCCUUUAUUAUCUUGAGACUCCUUAAUAAAUAUUACUCCCUGUUUUUAUAUUUUUAUUUUAUAAAGCAGAAAAAUAUUUAUUUUUAUUUUUAUCCCACCACAGUGAAUGUACUUAUGGGUUUUAUGCCACUCGUAUACUCACAUGGGGCUUACAGUUUUUAACAUUUUUAUUUUCUUUUUUAAGAUAGUGUGAAUAUGAUUAACUAAGUAAACUAUUUGAAAUAACUGAAAGGGAAAGGAUAACUACCAAGUUUACCUCUUGGCAAGGCGUUCGGUGUUUUUAAGUCCUCCGAACGGGACUCUCCAAUUUCUUAAUUGUCCUGAGGUUCGUUGGGUGGCGUAGUCGGUACUUCCGGCAGCGCCUCCUCUUCUUGUAUAGUUAUCUUCAUUUUCCAUACCUGACUCGGUGCUUCGAUCUCCUCUGGAUAAUUCUGUUUAAAUUCAACGUCUUCUGACCUUACAACUUCUCCUUCAUAGUCUGCCCAUCCGUCCUUGAUGAUCUGCCUCCUCUGGAUGCGGUUGCGUCUUUUUCUGACCUGCUUAGAUUCUUCAAUGAUAUAGUUAGGGUCAGUAAAAUAACGGCGUACCUUCUCUGAGGGAAGUGCAUAUGGACUUCUCCGGUUCCAAUGUAGAUAAUUGCUUUAACGGUGCUGAGGAAUGGUCUUCCAAGGAUGAUGGGUGGAUCAUAUUCAUCUUCUCCCAUGUCAACAACUUGAAAGUCUGUGUAGACAAAGUGAUCGUCUAUUUUGACUGGGACAUCAGAUACUAUUCCUUUAACUUCUUGAAAUGUCUGAUCUGCCAUCUGGAGCUGAAUGUAUGUUGGUCUUAGUGGCAUGGUCCCGAACAAGAGCCGAUAAGUGACUGCGGCCAUUAUGUUGACGCCCGAUCCGGUGUCGCAAAUCGUCUUGUAGAAGUUGUAUCCAUUUAUGGAGCAGUAGAUGCUUGGCAUUCCUAGGUCGUCCUUCUUGGUCAAAAAACGGUGACUUAAGUUGAUGAUCUUGGCCUCCAUGGACUACAGAGACCAUCUUAGGUGACUCGGUCCACACUUGCUUGUUCCUGUUCCUCCUGUUGGUCCUCUUCCUUGAUUCACGUCUGGAUUGAUCUUGAAUUUGUGUAGUCUUGUUCUUGAAGAAAAACGUCUCCUUCUUCCCUUUGACGUAGAAACUGAUCUUGGCAGCACUAGCGUAGAUGAUAGCUCCCGUGGUGUUCAAGAAUGGCCUCCCUAGGAUGAUAGGUGCUCUCUCAUCAUUUCCGGUCUCUACCACUACGAAGUCUGCUGGGGCAUAUAAGGUACCAACUCGGACACAAAGGUUCCUCACUAUUCCUUUUGGGAAAGUUAUCGUCUGAUCUGCAAACUGCAAACACAUGGUUGUCUCUAAUAAAGGAUAUGUAAAGAAUUUCUCAUAGAGUAACCUAGGUAUAAUGUUGACACUGGAGCCAAAGUCGCAGAGUGCUUCUGGGAAGUCCACCAUGCCGAUGGAGAUCGGGAUGACGGGGCGUCCUGGAUCGCCUCUCUUGACCGGCAGACGGUCAGUAGAAAAUUCAGUGACGGGGUUACUCCAAUUACCUGCAUCAAACAUGUCUACAAGAUUUGCAGAUUCUAAUCCUUCCGGUUGUGAUGGUAUACCGGGGUUAGUAGUAGGAACAGCAGCAGCUAUUUGAUUUAAUUGGGAUUCAAUCAUUUUAUUAAAGCUAAUUUGAUUCUUGAUGGCAGUAGAGAAAUUAUCCAUUCUAUUAUUUAUAUUUUCUAGCAUUUUAUCAUUAGAUGCCAAUUUCUUAGAUAGGUUAUCCAUUAGCUUUCCUUGAUUAGAUACUAACUCUCUCAAAGGUGGAAAAUUAUUAUUAUUGUUGUAAGAAUUGUUACCUUGAUAAUUACCUGAGUAGUUAGGCCUCUGUUGAUUCCAACCUUGAUUUUGUUGAGGACGGUUGUAGUAGUUGUUGUUGUUGUUCUUGAUGUAGUUCACAUCCUCAAGCAUCUCAGGGCAGUGAUUGCCAGAGUGUCCAGUGUCUCCACACUCCUCACAAGUCAUGUGAGAGUCGUAGAUGUGCAUAACUUCUUUCUUGUCUCCAGCUCUAUCGUCGAGCUUCUUCAUGAUCAGGUCUAGCUUUGCAGACAGCAUGUCUACCUCCUUCAGCUGAUGUAUACCUCCACCUCUCUUGCGUGUCUGGCUCCUCUCUUCAUUCCAGCUUUGAUUGGACGCCAUCUUCUCCACAAGAGCUGUGGCUUGUGGUAUAGUAAGUGAUAAGAAUGCUCCUCCAGCUGCAGCAUCCAUGGUCUCUCGGGCACUGUUGCCGAGCCCAUGAUAAAACGUCUGCAUCAAUAGCCAACUCUCCAUUCCAUGAUGGGGACAUUCUAGGAUGUAGUCUUGAAAGCGCUCCCAUGCUUCUGGAACAGAUUCAUCAUUUUAUUGCUGAAAACUUGUAAUCUUCCCACGGAGAGCAUUGGUCUUGCCCAUGGGAAAGAACUUAGCCAGGAAGUUUGUUGAGCAGAGUGCCCACGUAGUAUUCUUCUCCUUUGUAGCGUAGAACCACUGCUUCGCUCUUCCUAACAGUGAGAAUGGGAAGAGGCGAAGUAGUAUAGCGUCUUUGGAAACUCCUGCUAUGGUGAAUGUGUUGCAAAUCUCCAGGAAGUGUUGUAAAUGAGCACUAGCAUCUUUGUGUGCCUUCCCACAGAACUGGUUGGAUUGCACCAUGCUGAUAAGUCCAGGCUUGAGCUCAAAGUUGCCGUCGAUCUCUGCAGCAGGUCCAGUGCGGAUGUUGUCCGUAGUGGGAGCUGAGAACUCGCGGAUCGAUUUGUUCGCCAUGGCUUCGAACUCUGAAGACAAGUUCCGGUGAUCUUCUUGAUUGGAUGAAGCUUCUUGCUGAAGUGUUGAUGAUUUCUUUAGCUUGGCUCUCGUCUUCUUGAAUAAUGCUUCGGGAUUGUCAACAAAAUUUCCUGGAAGAUGUCUUCUAUUCAUACAUUCCCCUGCAUAAGAUAAAAUAGAAAAAUAUCGGGGUAAAACUGUAUGAGAGAAUAGAUAAGCUCAAUCAUAUUAGUGAUGCGAAUGAUAACUCAAAAUCUUUUAUUCCAUUCCUGAUUAGUAAUCAACCUUCUCCGGCAACGGCGCCAAAAAUGCUUGUUGGGUAUUCUUAACAUCAUUACUAAAAGUAGACUAAGUUCUAAAUCUAGCAACGGUGCCAAAAAUGCCAAACCUAUCCCUCACACCACUUAAGCCAAGUUGUCAUCCCCAGCAUGACAUGAGAGACACGGUAUUGAAAUAUGCAAUUGCUCUUCUAAAUAAAUAAUAAAUGGGAUUUGCGAGCGCACAGAUUAAUACCGAUGUAGCAUUUUAACCGGUAAGUAUUCUAGGUAUCGUUAUUUAUAUUUUUACCACUGGGAAGGGAUUAACAAUCAUCAAUAUUGAUUACAGAAUAGAAUAUGAGAUUGAGCAUCUAUCAUUGCAUGUAUAAUUGAGAACAUUAUAUCUAACUCUUCAUACAGGGAUAAGUGUCACAUAAAAGAUAUAUGAAGUAAUAAUAGUGACAAGGAUAACUAAUCUGAUCUAGCCACAUAAUAAAUAUGAUAAGCACCUCAAUUAGAUACUCUAGAAAGUCAUUAGCAUGGUAUUAGAACGAACUACAAGAAUAUUCCCUAAGUUAUUCUCAACUAUAUAGUCUAGCAUUAUCAUAGUUAGUGCAAGCAUACUUAGCAAUCAUUGUGAGACAAGACUACGCCCAUGCAUAGUGAUAUUAGCAAGGAAUAUGAGAAACAUAGCAAUCACUCCCCUGUAAUAAUGUUGCUCUGCCAGCCCAAUACACGAGAGGGGGACUAUACAAGAAUCAAUGAAGCUGUCACUAUCACGAACCACCCCACGAUCUGGCAUAUUGGGUACAAUCGUAGAUAAAUACGGUAUAAGCACCACGCCUACACAAUAUCUAUCAUUUACCCAUGGAUCCGAUGGAUAAACGCUAUACGAUCCUAAGCAUGUAUAUAGAUCGUAUCUAACUAAGCCAAGUACAUAACUAUGAUAAACUAAGAACAAUAUAAUCUUGAAUAUAAGCAAGUAGAGCAAAGUCAUAAGCAAUAUAUUGAAGUAGAACAAAGUCAUAUUCAUAAUAUUGAAGAACAAAGAUAAUUAGAAAGCAAUUAGAAGCACAAUUAGAGAAUUACCAAGAAUUCUCCUGACAGAUCCGGAAACCAAUCAAAGAUUGACUCCUUCUAGUUCUAAUCCUAUGUAGCUAUGCUAAUCUAGAUGUCUAAUUGAUGUGGUGGCUCUAAUCUUGAUCAGAGGCUUCUUCUCCCUUGAUGGAACAAUGAAUUAGGGUUGAGAGGCUCUCUCCUCCAGGGGCCAGGGGGUCUGGUUUUAUAGUCCCUUCAAGUGAAUAUGGGCCCUUGGAUCAAACCGACAUAGAUUGUAUGGUUUAGAUUCAUCCUUUAGGUCGGUGGAGAUCUCCCGCAAAGCAGAGUCCUGAUUGGACUCAGGGGCAGGGCGGGCGCCCAGGGUCUGGCCCCGUUUCGCCUCCGCUUCGGUCUCGUGGCUUCUGGAGUCUUCUAGAUAAUUGCGCAGCACGUUAAUAUCUUUACGUAAUCCUGACAUGUGGGCCUUUCUUCCAUAUUUCCUGAUAACCCCCUGCAGAAAUAGACAAACACCAAAACUCGUGGAAUUCUGUCAGAUAAAACCCUAAGUCUAGAUGUUGAUUUCAUUUGGGUCCUUUUCUUUAUUUAUUUGAUAAUUAAAUUUGAUACUUAAGGACCGUCAACACCGACAUGUGGGCCUUUCUUCCUUAUUUCCCGAUAACCCCCUGCAGAAACAGAUAAACAACAAAACUCAUGGAAUUCUGUCAGAUCAAACCCUAAUUCUAGGUGUUGUUUGCAUAUUGGUCCUUUCUCUUGUUUAUUUGAUAAUUAAAAUUGAUACUUAAGAACCGUCAACAAAUACCCCCAUACUUAGGCUUUUACUCGUCCUCGAGAAAAGGAUGGUUAAGAAAAAUAUCUGGGGUAAAACAUUUAAAACAUUCUCUUUAUAUAAUUGCAGGGUGUUAAAAUUCCACUGUGUACCAUAGUCAGGGAUGUUUAUGGUUAAGAGUAAAGAUCCUUUCUUCUCAAUCCUGUCACUUGGAGUUUUUGUUAUAUUUUUGAAAGAAAGUUAGCAUACCUUUUUAUCCUCAUAGGUUCUCUCAGAUCACUCAUUAUCUUUUAUAUACGUCUCACUGAGGUUGUUUUAUUUUGCAAAAAUUCUCAAACAUUCUUACUUUGCAUUUAUUGCCUGAUCAAAACGGGAUCCGAGGAGGGGAAUGUCAUACUCUUAGAUCAAAGACUUUGGAAAUUAAAAACUUUGUCAUCUCUUGCUAGCAUAUUGCUUAUUAGAGGGACCAUGGGCUAUCAUUUUCAUUUCAUUUUUUUUAAGUGGAUACCGAGGUACCCCUAAUUCUACUGCCGGACACUUGUUCAUUUUUUCUGCGAGGUUGUCGAGCACUUGCUCCUUUUUAUUUCCUCGAAAUAUCUCUAUUUUUGCAUAGCCCAUGCCUCUAAUACAAUAAUACUUCGGAAGAGUGAAUCUUACUGAAAUAGUGUCUUGAUCUUGGGAGCAUGAUAAAUCUCUCAACAAGGAUCUAACUCAUUUUGAACAAACUCAAUACAGAGUAGAUAGCUUUAUAAUCAUCAUUAAUAUUUUUAUUUUUAUCAGGCAUAUAAAACACUGAGGAUGGUAGCUAGAAUUUUGAAUAUUUUGAAAUAAAUUCUCCAAGCAACAAUGAUAUCAAGAAUAAGAAACUCAUACUCUACCAUCACAUAUUCCAUAUUGACUUAAGUAACAUAGGGUUUUAAAAUGAUUUUAUAAUAAUUGCAAGUUUUCAGGAAAUAUCACAGAUUGAGAUUAAUCAUGAUUAGAAAUAUUUUAAUAUUUUUAUUUUAUCAUGUCGGAAACAGUAAUCUGCAUAAUCCAAAAUAAAUGUAUGUAUGAAGUAAAGUGUGCAGAGUGUGUACCUGAAUCAUGGAGUGGUGUAGUCGGAGUGUGUUUGGCAUGUUGAGGGAUCUCCCCCAUACUUGUUUUCUGCUUUCUUGCACAAAAAUAAAGUAGAGACACACAAGACAUAAUAAUAGUAAUACUCUUUAUUGAUCUUGAGGCAUUUAUUAUAAAAGACUAGUAGCAAACUGAUGAUAAUAGUAAACUGAUGAUAAUAGUAAACCUAAACCGAAUUUAAAGAUAAAUGACUAAGAUGUAUUGCCUCAAGGUCUAAUCUAGAUAACUUAGCGGCGCUCUAAUUCCUUGAUCUUCUUGUUGGCACUGGCAAGAUCCUGCCUAAGGCCUAGUAUAAUGGUGUUGUGGUUAGAGAGCUGCCUAGUGAGGGAAUUAAUUGAGGACUGGAGGUCUAUGAUAACUCUAUCUAGCCUGCGAACUUCCUCAUCAAUAUCCAUUAUAGUCUUGCGACGCUUGGGAGGUGUCUCAAAAGCAUUGAGAGCGUGCUUCGGGGCUGCCUUUGGAGGGAUGAAACGGACUUUGGAUGCUCUAAUCCCUUCAAAGUAAGGCCUUUCCUCCUCCGUAGUGUAGCGAACGCUGCUGAUCUCGGCGCUCCGGUUGGUCUUGACUCCAACGACCCUCUCAUUGGGAAAAGGUGGAAGGAUCCUUGUGCCGAUUGGCACCUUGAUAGUGGUCUUUGUCUUGGAUGAUGAUCCUUUGAGGAGUAGGGGUUGUGGCGGUGCGGUGAGAACUGGUUGAGCAUGGUAGGAUUGGGCGGAGCUGCGUUGAUGUAAUGGCAUGGCUUCUAGUUGUCGCUCUGUGUUGGCCGGGACGAGAGCACGGGCAUCGGGGUCUUCCACUGGCUCUAUGUUGAGGUUGAAGGGGACGACUUCCCAAUCGUCGUGGUACUUGUCGGCCAUUGGAGCAACAAGGAACUAAUAAAAUUUUAAUUGAAGUAGAGCUAAUUAAGCUCUAAUUGAAGGAGAGAAAGCUUGGUGGCUUGGUGUUUAAAAACUGAGGUCAGGGGUCUAUUUAUAUAGGGGUCAAAAGGAUGCCUCUAUGGGUUGUUCGGGUUGCUCCCGUCGAUGUGCGUGCGAAACUUUCCAUCCGAGGGAUUAUUCGGAUCACCCUAAGUGCAUUUUCCAUAACAGAGAAAGUCGGGACCGAGGGGGAACAGGGGCUGGGCGCCCGCCCACUUGACCUGGGCGCCCGCCGUCUCUGUGGCCCCUCUGUGGGCCCACUUUUCCGAGCGCGUUUCUAGAUGCGGAAUUAUUUAGAAAAAUAUAUAUAUGACCCAAAACCAUCAGACCAAAAGUAUCGGGCUCUAAUUCUCCAUGGGAAGGUAAAAAUGGACUACGUCUAUUUCUUCAAAUUCCUCAUUGGGCUCUAAAAAUAAUUUAAGACGUUGACCAUUUACCUUGAAUAACGUACCUUCGCUAUUUUGAAGUGUGAUAGCUCCGUGGGAUGAUGAAUUGAUUACCUUGAAUGGUCCUUCCCAUUUGCUCCGGAGUUUUCCAUGCCCGAAAACCUUUACCCUGGAAUUAAAAAGUAAUACCUUAUCUCCGGGUGUGAACUCCUUCUUCUUUAUUCUCUUGUCAUGCCACCUCUUGACUCUUUCUUUGUAGAUCUUUGAAUUGUGAUAUGCUUUCUCUCGCCAUUCUUCCAAUUCUGAUAGUUGCAUUCUUCUAUAGUCUCCAGCAACAUCUAGGUCCAUAUUCCAUCUCUUUAUGGCCCAGUGUGCUUUGAACUCUAGUUCAACAAGUAGAUGGCAAGUCUUCCCAUACACCAAUUGGUAUGGAGACAUUCCAAUUGGGGUCUUGUAUGCUGUCCGGUAUGCCCAGAGUGCAUCGGGUAACUUGUCUUUCCACGCCGUUCCCAUUUCAUUUACUGUCUUCUGAAGAAUAUUCUUGAUUUGUUUGUUGGAAGUCUCUGCUUGGCCACUUGUCUGAGGAUGAUAGGGGGUAGCGACGUUGUGACGGAUUCCAUGUCUUGAUAGAUAUUGCUUGAAGCGUUUGUCGAUGAAGUGUGCUCCUCCAUCACUUAUCACUACUCUGGGGACUCCAAAUCUUGGAAAUAUAAUUUCUUCAAACAUCCUCUUUGAACUGAAGUUGUCGGCAUGCUUGCAAGGUAAUGCCUCUACCCACUUGGAGACGUAGUCAACCGCCACCAAGAUGUACUCGCACUUCUUUGAUGGAGGAAAUGGACCCAUGUAGUCUAUUCCCCAGACAUCAAAGAGCUCAAUCUGAAGGCUGUUGGUGAGUGGCAUUGCAUCCCUUGUAUUUAUGUUUCCGUGUCUUUGACAUGGCCCACAUCUUCUGAUAUAUUGCUUCGUGUCUUCAUACAUUGUAGGCCAGUAGAAUCCACACUGCCAGAUCUUUGAAUGUGUACGGAAUGCUCCAUAGUGACCUCCAUAUGGUGAUGAAUGACAUCUGUCGAUGAUCUUCCAUCCUUCCUCAGUGGUCACACAUCUCCUGAGUAAGCCGUCAGAGCAUACUCGGAAGAGGUAUGGCUCAUCCCAUAUAUGUGAACGACUUUCUUGAAUAAGCUUCUUCUUGUUUGCUCCUGGUGGUACAUACCCUGAAACCAUAAAAUUAACAAUAUCUGUAUACUAGAUGUCAGACCUGUUAAUCCCGUAGAGCAUGUCGUCCCAGAGUGAAUCAUUGAUUGGGGUUUCUUGUGGACUCUUAAAAUACAUUCUAGACAGGUGAUCAGCAACAGAAUUUUCUACUCCCUUUUUAUCUUUUAUUUCUAAGUCAAAUUCUUGGAGUAAUAAAAUCCAUCUAAUCAGGCGAGGUUUAGCAUCUUUUUUAGUGAGCAAAUAUUUUAGUGCAGCAUGAUCAGUGUAAACAAUUAUUUUAGCUCCAACUAAAUAAGAUCUAAAUUUAUCAAUGGCAAAGACAACAGCCAGAAGCUCUUUUUCAGUGGUUGCAUAAUUGAGUUGAGCUCCUGUCAAAGUUUUACUGGCAUAAGCAAUUGCAUGAUGCUUCUUAUCUUUAGUUUGUCCCAAUACUGCCCCCACAACAUAAUCACUAGCAUCACACAUAAUUUCAAAAGGCAACGACCAAUCAGGGGGUUGAAUGAUUGGUGCAGAGAUGAGUGCUUUCUUUAAUAAAUUGAAAGAUGUUAGACAUGCAUCAUCAAAUUCGAAAGGAGCAUCCUUGGCUAGCAAAAGAGUAAGUGGUCUAGCAAUGAAUGAAAAAUCCUUUAUGAAUCUACGAUAAAAACCAGCAUGGCCAAGAAAGCUUCGAAUUCCUUUUAUAUUCACAGGUGGAGGUAGUUGUUCAAUUACUUCAAUUUUAGCUUUGUCUACCUCAAUUCCUCUUUCAGACACUAAGUGUCCCAGCACUAUUCCUUCCCUAACCAUAAAAUGACAUUUUUCCCAAUUAAGGAUUAAGUGCUUUUCUUCACAUCUUUGCAAAACCUUAUCUAAGUUUUCAAGACAACUAUCAAAAGUUUUUCCAUAAAUAGAGAAAUCAUCCAUGAAAACUUCCAUAAUCUCUUCAAUCAUAUCAGAAAAUAUAGACAUCAUGCAUCUUUGAAAAGAAGCUGGUGCAUUACAUAACCCAAAAGACAUUCUACGGUAAGCAUAAGUUCCAUAAGGGCAUGUAAAAGUGGUUUUGCUUUGAUCAUCGGGAUGGAUCGGGAUUUGAUGAUACCCUGAAUAUCCAUCUAAGAAACAAAAGAAUGAAUGGUUUGCUAACCGCUCUAGCAUCUCAUCUAUAAAAGGUAAGGGAAAGUGAUCCUUUCUCGUGGCUUUGUUUAGUUUUCUAUAGUCUAUGCACAUCCGCCAUCCUGUGACGGUGCGUUGCGCAAUUAGCUCAUUCUUUUCAUUCAUAAUAACAGUCAUGCCUCCCUUUUUGGGCACAACUUGGACUGGGCUCACCCACUCACUGUGCGGCACAGGAUAUAUAAUCCCUGCAUGCAGCAACUUAAUAACUUCCUUUUUAACUACCUCUCUCAUAGUGUUGUUAAGUCUACGUUGGGGUUCUCGAGAGGGUGUAACAGAAGGAUCUGUUGGAAUACGAUGGGUACAAAUCAUAGGACUGAAUCCUGUAAGAUCUUGAAGUGAGUAGCCGAAUACUGAGUGAUGUUUCUCAAGAAUGGUCAUUAAUCGCAGAGUUUGAUCCUUAGUGAGUUUAUCACUAAUGAUCACAGGGAACUCUGGAUAAUUCCAAGAUUGGGGACUAAUCGUCCCGAAGAUUCCUUUAUGACCUUUGUUGUGGGGGUUAAGAUAAGAUUUUUAAAUAGUUUAAGUGCAAAGGGUUCAGACAUAAUGUUGAUCCCCACAACAGGAUUAUAGAGAGCAUUAAAUCGAUCAGAAUUAUAAGCACAGCGUAUAGUUAUAGAGGGUGUGUCCAAACGGAUCACAUCAGAGGAAAGCUCUGAUUCCUCCAACCAUUCGCUACUCAUGACUGAGAUAAGUUCUCUCAAUUGAUAUUCACUUGGUAAAUAAAUGCUAAACUGGCCGUUCUGGGGUUUGUCAAUAGAAUGGUAAUUUGAAAUAUUUCCAAAAUCAGCAAAAAGAUCGGAUUCUAUAUCCAGCAUGAAGUCCAGUAGUGGAAUUUCUUCCUCUUGUGGCUCAAAACUUGGAAUAGCUAAAGUAGAUGAAGAAUUUGGCAGAGUGUCUACUUCGGCUUCGUAGGUUUCAUCAUGAAGGGUAUUAUCCAUCUCAGCUUCUAGGAUUCUAUCUAGGAUCACUCUUGCUUCAUCAGCAGAGAUGCGAAAGAAAGAAUCUCCAGACAUUGUGUGUAGCAUUUGUUUGUGAUUUUUAUGGAGACCUCGAAAAAAGUGAAAUAAAAGAACAGGGUCUUCAAGAUUAAGGUUUGGACCAGAUUCUAAAAGAUCAGAAAAACGUUUCCAGGAUUUUCCCAAAGUUUCAUUAUCUUUUUGUUUAAAAGAUAGGACUUCGAGUCUAUGGUCGGCUAUACGGUCAAGGGAAUAGAAAUCUAGACAAAAGUUGGCUCGUAAAACUCCCCAUUCACCUUGUUGUUGACUUACCUUCUGACUGUACCAUUGUCUAGCUUCUCCCCUUAGAGAAAAAGGAAAAAGCUUCCAACGUAAAGUCUUAUCAGAAAUGCCUUCAAUGCGAAGACAAUCACAUGUUUGCUCAAAAUCUCUAAUAUGAAGGUAAGGGUUUUCGUCUUCCUUUCCCGAAAAAGAUAGGUUUUGAAUCAUGGCAAUCAACCUAGAACUUAACUUAUACUGGGGUGUUUGGAUAGGCUGUGAUGAUUCCCAUGGUAAAAGGUCAGUUGCUAAAGGGAUUGCAGACUCAUGGAUCGAUUUAGAAUUUUGGUUUUCCAUAAGGUAAGAAUAAAGAAAAUAAAUAAAGGAUACAAAAGAUAAGAAAAGAUAAAAGUACACAUACAAGCUAAUAGCAAGACACAGGUUAUCUCAGCAACCGUCUUUCUCCCCGGCAACGGCGCCAGAAAUGCUUGUUGAUAUUUGGGAACGCAAUAAGGAAUUGAUCCGCAAGCGCACGGAUAUCGGUGAGCACUUCACCCAGGAAAUUAUCCAGAGUAUCGUAUUUAUUUUUUUACCACUAGGAGAAAGAGUGCAUCUGACUAACCGGUCUAUUACUACUAACCUUUAGGCACAAAGAAUGUCUUUCGAUGUGAGUGAUAAAUAGAGAAGACUGCAACCGUAGUCUCCUUCUAACCAUGGUAAGGAUGAUCUACUGUUCUAAUGGGGAGGCUAACGGAAUCUAGACACCACAGAGGAUGUUCAACCCGCACCUAUAAACCCUAUACUUCCUGCUAACGAGAUGUGAUCUACAAAGGUAGCUCGGAAUUGUCACGUUCCUCACUACUACCACGGUCCAGCUAGUCAGGGAAUAUUUAUGAGUACCCCAGCCUAAACACCACGUUUACGCCAGCAAUGAUUACUCUAAACUCUACGCGAAGAGAUUAAAGUAAACUCAUAAACCAUAAGAACAAUAAAACAAGAACUUACUAGAAUUUAGAAGUCGAAUUAGUGAAGAAUCCUAGGAGCAAGCUUCGGGUUAGGAGAACUUGAUCCCGCAGGUACAAGCUUGGAGUAGACACCGACAGGCCGGGCUUCCUCCACUCUACACCUCCACUCUAUCUCUCUCAAUCUAGUAGAAACUAGAAGAUCUAUUUCUACCUUACAUUGAUUGCUAAGCCUAAAAAGAAAUAUUAAUUAGAGAAGAGGUUUUCCUUCGAGGGCACCCCUCAGUCUCUAUGAUAAUUUCUUCAUGUCUUCUCCAGGGGCGAUGGGGGCCUUGCUUAUAUAGUCCUCCCCUUCUAUGCGUUUUUAGGUCGAUAGCUGAGGUGGUACUAUGUUUUUCUUGAUCCAAUAGGUCGGUGGAAUAUCCCGAACGAAAGAGUCCUGAUUUGGCUCCAGCAGGGGGGCGGGCGCCCUGGGCCUGGCCCAGUUUCGCCUCCGCUUCGGUCUCGUGGCUUCUAGAGUCUUCUAGAUGAUGUAAAAUUGCGCGGUGCGUUAAUAUCUCUAUGUAAUCCCGACAUGUGGGCCUUUCUUCCUUAUUUCCUGAUAACCCCCUGCAGAAACAGAUAAACAACAAAACUUGUGGAAUUCUGUCAGAUCAAACCCUAAUUCUAGGUGUUGUUUGCAUAUUGGUCCUUUCUCUUGUUUAUUUGAUAAUUAAAAUUGAUACUUAAGAACCGUCAACAACUGCGAUAAGCUCUCUCAAUUGAGGUUCAGUUGGCAAACAAAUGCUAAAAUGGCCGUUUUGGGGUCUGUUGUCACAGAACCGACCAAAUUAUAAGAGUUCAAGUGCAGAAAUGAUCGUCAAACAAUCAAGUUUCUAAACUUGAGCCCAUAUAAUCCCGGUAGUCAAUCGAAAUCACGAAGGACUUCAAACCAACUCGCAACAAACCAAGAUCGUAAUAGUUCAACAUAAACACAACGAAUGUUACAUAGUCAGUCAUUGCCGAUGAAGCGGCACCACAUCGGAGUCAUUAAGUUAUUACAACCCAAGUUUGAAGUAGCGGAAGCAAAAUAGUUACACACACUUGUUCAAAGUUCAGUUCACAAGUUUUGUUACUGCCAGAGUCUAUGCCAUCCUUCCAAAAGCAUCAUAGACGAGAAGAGUAGAGAACCGUGCCCAACGGUUAGUCCUCAUCCCCAGCGGGAUGGAGACAGGUAUUGCAGAAACCGUCAUAGAAGAUAUCAUCUGCAACAGGUGGGAAUAAACCCUGAGUACGAGGAUGUACUCAGCUAGACUUACCCGUCUAGUAAAACACAAAAGACACCAAGGAUCAUGCAAGGCUAAAUCUUAGGUGGAGUUGGUUGACUCACCUUUUGCCAAAAGCUUAACUUACAACUAAGUUAUUUUAAGAGCAUCAUAUUUAUUUAUCAUCAGCCUACCACUAGAUUAGCACCUGUACUACAACACAUCACUUGAUUAUUACAAACAAUAAUAACCAUAUCAAAUUCAUCAUAUGUUCUUCUUGCUAUCAUCAUUAUCAUGAACCAAAUUCAUUAGUGAAUGCUACGUUUGCCGCUGCUCUGUCUAGUUCUCACUAACCGGGAGAGACGGCGAUUCGAAUCGAAUUCCUAUCCAGCUGGAGGAUUAUUCCUAGCACUCACCCAGGCAUCCCCUGCCGGAGAGCCCACGGGUCACCUUUGGUACAACUCAGAAAUCGCAGUUCCGAUCAGCGCCGCACUCCCAGGGCUACCACUCUACCAGGGAGGUCAGGAAUUUUAACUCACCUGCCUUUGGACUUACGCCAAUGGUCCCCCACACACCGCACUUCCUCCGGUAGUGCGCACUUUAUACUUGCCGGUCUUCCGGCCUGAGUCAUACUACUCGGCUUCGCGGUCGGAACGAGUUAUCCGGCCAACUAAGUGUUAGGCAUGCGUUCAACAUGACAAGAGGACGUACAACGAUCAGUCCUUAGCUGCCACAGACGGAGUUACUACAAACUUGCAAAACUCCGCCCGGCUUAAGUCACUUUAAUCAGGUUCCAUCCACGAUAGCACAUAUAGACCAUCGUGAUCCGACAUAACCCUAUAUCGCGUGGAUGACAGGAUAUCACCCGACUUCUACCGAUUAAAGCAUAUCUAAGCUGCUACUCGAUCCUAACUCUACAACCAGGGAGGGUGAGUUAUCUGGACAAGGAUAGAGUAGAAUGCAGCAACAGUUUCAUCACAACUCCUAGACUUAAUGCGUCAAUAGGUAUAACAUAUUAAGUAAACUUUCGAAAAUAGAAGGAGACUUAGAAUGCUCCGGGGCUUGCCUUUCACGAACGAUGCCGGCUCGUGAUUCGGGCACUCAACUUCUUCUUCGGGCUCCUCGAGUCCGGCUUGCUGGACCUCCACCUCCUGGCUGCCCUCCUGACCUUCGGGAUUCGCUUGGAGCUCGAAGGAAACUGCCACGUCCGGUGCACCUAUUGCAUGCUCGAACGAUAAGAUAAUGCACAUGCUAACGAUGAAUGCUUAAUGACACAAGCAACUCACUGGACACUCAUUUACGGACAAAAGUUAUACUAACUCGCAUAAUUGAACAAGUUAACAUAACCCAAAACCUUUCAAGACACUAAGGCAGCAAACACACAAACAGAGAGGCUCAGUAAAUAAAUCAUAACUAAAGAUAGGCAGGUCCAACAAACAUGAGUAAGGACAUUCUGGAAAUCUUAUGAAAUGGUCUACAAUUAAUCUUUAAACAUGACAGCAAGAUUCAUACAUGAGACUGGUCAUUUAAACAAAGUUCCAGGUUCUGUCCCAGAAAAACAGAGAACACCUAUUCCUGGAACCCAACUUGAAACAGCUAUAACUUUUAAACUACUUGGCCAAACGACCUCAAAUUUAAACCAUAGUUAGUUCAACAAGUUUGGAACAUCUUUGCUUUAGACAAGUUCCACAGAAAGUCAAGUUAUCAUUAAGUAAUAACCAAAUUGCUACCUUGCUGUCCAGAACAGCAUUUAACCCUAUAGUUAAUUAUUUAAUGACAUGAUCAAGACACAAACCAUGCCAACCACAUGGCCUAUGAGCACAAACCUGUUACAAGGUUACCAGAUCAUCAGAUGGAAACCCCAAAACAUUUAUUUAACAAGGCAUUUAUUAAUUAACUCUAAAUAAGAGCAUAAUUACAAGAUACUAGUUCAAAUGCUCAGAAAAAUCUACAAAAAUUACAGAAGCACAAGGACACCAUCAAAGUAUCACCAUAAAAAUUUCACAGCAAUUGCACAUACCAAAAUAAAGAUAUGUAUUUAACACGUAUCAAGGCAUUUAUUUCAUAAAUUUAGAAACAAUACUUAUAUGGUGUUAAACAACAGAUUUCAGAUUAUUUACAUCUUAGGAGUACCAUAAACAAACUUACCACCAAAGUAGAACAUCAGCAUAAGCACCAAUUAUUUUAUAUGAUUUAUUUAAAGAAACAAGCCAUAUCUCAAACACAAAUUACGUAUCCCAACUGCAGUGCUCUAAAAAUCAUGAACUAAUUAUCAGAGCACUCUAAUGCCAUGCAAAGGCUACCAUAAAAUUUUCAAAGCAAACUAAGCAGUAUAACAAGAGAUAUGCAUUUUUCCAUAAAUAACAAGAUUAAAUCCUUAAUAAAUGAUUUCUCAGAAAACAUGAUUCAUUUUAUAUUUUUAUUAAAUACUAGCCAUCUCAAGAAACUCCACAAAAAUUUGUUUCACAAUUUUUGGAUCUCAGAAACCGGAGAUAUGAUUUUUGCAAGAAAGCCAAAAAUCAGGAUUUUGAAUAAAAGAAAAGGAGGGAAAGAGAGAGUCGCUGACAGUGGGUCCCAUCUGUCAGGCUCUUCUUCCUCGCGGCCGAGGCGACUUUCGCCGGCGAUUUCUCCGCGACGGCGAGGUCUCCGGCCAAGCCAAGGGCAUCAGCGUGAUCCCCAAACCCUAACGACUCGAUUGACCCCACUUUUCCCACGGCGGAGCCACCGGAAGAGGCUCGCCGUCGACAAUGGCGGCUCGGCGGAGGUGCUCGGCGUUACGCCGGAGCCCUCAGGCCGGUAGAGCGCGACCUAAGGCCUUCUACAGCACCAGCGGACUACGGCGAAGCUUCCUAGGUGCGCGGCUUGGCCUGGAUCCCCGUGGAACGCGCUGGCCACGAGAGCACCCAACUCCGGCGGAAGCACGGCGGCGCUGCGCACCGUGUCCGGCGACGGAGAACCCGGUAGAGCGUCCACCAGGUGGCGCAAAAGCUCGCUAAGGACCUAAGCUACCUCUAGGACCUAACCAAAGACGAUGAGAAGCCUCACAGCGCUCGGCAUUGAGUUCGCCGGAGAAGAAGGUCACGGCGAACCGAUUUGGGGGAAGAAGGGAAUGUCGGCUCACCGGUGGGUUUCUCGGCGAGUUAGAGGGUGGAGCUUGGAGAGCGGCUCACAGCGGAGCUUUGGGUGGAGUUUGGUGGACGGAGGCGCAGUGAGGAGCGCACACGAGCUCGCCGGAGUGAGCUCGCGGCGGAGAGCUCGCUGCGGGCGAGUUUCAGGCGAAGGAGGGCGAGGCAGAGCGAGUGGACGCGUCCACUUCGCUCGGGACGUCGCCGUGGAGGUCAUGCACGCGACGAGGGCUGACAAGCGGGGCCAGGAGCAGCGUGCGGUCGACAAAUGGCGACGGAGCUCUGCCGGCGGUCGGCCACGUCGACGAGCUCAGGCUCGAUUCAGAAGAAAGGGUGCUGGUCUGACAGAGCCACUUCACCGGCGAUUAUCUCCCAAACCAGAGCGAAUUAGAAGAUGGCGUAGUUGACAAACUUGGAGAACUAAGCGAGAUCUACAACUUUGUCAACUGCAGCAAGAGCUAGAUUGGCUUGGAUUGAGAGUUAUGAAGUUUUCAAAAUCAAUCGAGCAAACUUGUUUCGUUCCAAGACUUAGAAAAUUUUCUAAGUGUUGAAAACAGCCCCAAAUCUGCCUUGUAGGUCACUUUUGAGCUAUUUGUGAUCAUUUUCAUGAGAUGGCCAUAAAACAGCUUUUGUUCCUUAUAAUAUUUGCUACAACUUUACUGUAGAAAGUUUUGACAUGCAAGCAUUUUAUGAAACACUUUUUAAAAGCCUAAGCAAAAGAGGUUUCUAGGGUCUAUUUUCAUAAGUAUGACUUAAAAGCAUAUUUUGGAAAAGUGAUCAACAUGAACAUUGUUCCCAAGAUUAAGUUAAGCAUAGAUAAACUAAUUACCAAGGCAUUAAGCACAAACACAAGCAUUGUUCACUCAAACAUAAGCAUAGGAAGCCUAUUUAAGCAAUUUAAAACACAUUUUUGCAUAGAAUGACAUGGCUCAAGAUAGAUGAUGAUCAUGAUAUGCUUUGAGUAAAUCAUGAUGCUCAUGCUAUGCACAUGCUUGAUGCAACCAUAACACUGGGGUGUUACAGCCCUCCCCCCUUACAAAAAUCUCGUCCCGAGAUUUGAAAGCUUACUGAUUUUCGAAGAAGGUUUUGUAAACUUCUUUUAAAUAAUCCUCCGUCUCCCAAGUGGCAUCUUUUUCCCCGUGGUUACUCCACAACACUUUGUAGAGCUUAACCACACGAUUACGCGUCUCCCGUUCCUUGCGAUCAAGAAUCGCUAUGGGUUUCUCCUCAUACACCAAGUCUGACUUCAACUUGAUAUCUCGAAUUUCCACUUGUUCCUCUGGUACACGAAGGCACUUCUUCAAUUGUGAUACGUGGAAGACAGGAAAAAUGGCUCGAAGCGCAACUGGGAGUUGAACUUUGUAUGCCACAUUCCCUUUCUUUUCGAGAAUCCGAUAAGGUCCCACAUAGCGAGGUGCAAGCUUUCGCUUGACUCUGAACCUUUGUACACCCUUCAUCGGAGACACCUUGAUGUACACAUGGUCACCAACUGAAAACUCAAUCGGCUUCCUUCUCUUGUCGGCAUAACUUUUCUGACGAGCUUGAGCAGCUUCCAGAUGUUGCUGGAUAGUACGGACUUUCUGCUCUGCUUCGUUCACGAAAGCGAUGCCAUAGUAUCUUCGCUCUCCAGCUUCUACCCAAUUCAGCGGGGUUCGACACUUUCGACCGUACAGGGCUUCAAAUGGAGCCAUCUUGAUACUCUCCUGGUAACUAUUGUUGUAGGAGAACUCAGCUAAUGGCAACCACUUAACCCAAGAACCUUUUGAUGAGAGAGCACAUGCCCUCAACAUAUCUUCAAGGAUCUGGUUAACUCGUUCAGUUUGACCUGCUGUUUGGGGAUGAUAAGCAGAGCUGCGGACCAAAUGAGUACCAAUCUGCUCAUGAAGACAUUCCCAAAAACGAGCAGUGAACUGCGGUCCACGAUCAGAUAUGAUUGUUCGAGGCACACCAUACUGUCGAACAAUGUGCUCGAAAUACAACUCCGCAUACUGAUGGGGACGAUAGUCAGUUCGGACUGGAAUAAAUGGAGCAACCUUGGUCAAACGAUCUACAACCACCCAGAUGGAGUCGUAACCCUUAACAGAAAUUGGGAGUCCACUGAUGAAAUCCAUGCUGACUUCUUCCCAUUUCCAACCAGGAAUUGACAAGGGUUGAAGCAAACCAGCUUUCAUGUGAACAGCCUUCACCCGACAACAAUUGUCACAACGAGCGACAAAAGCAGCUAUCUCCUUUUUCAUCUUUGUCCACCAAAACAAAGGUUUCAGAUCCUGAUACAUCUUGCUACUACCAGAAUGGAUAGACAUUUUGGAUGAAUGAGCUUCAGAUAGGAUCUGAUUUCGCAGCUCGCGGUCUUUUGGGACCACAAGUCGAUCCUUGAACCAAAGAAUUCCGUUCUCAUCAACUCGGAAAUGCUUGGUUUCUUCUUCCUUCAUUUUCCUCUUUAUAUGGUGGAUGCCUACAUCUGUCUGCUGCAAUUCGAUAACUCGAUUGCGAAUGGUACUCUCUAGAGAAAUCUGGUGGAGUACAAGCGGAUGCAUCAGAUGUGACAACAACAGAUCUUCCACUUGAAUUGAGUGACAGUGCGCUUUCCGACUCAAGGCAUCCGCCACUACGUUUGCCUUGCCCGGAUGAUAGUGCACUUGCAGAUUAUAAUCUUUAAUCAACUCAAGCCACCUUCGCUGCCGCAUGUUCAGUUCAGGUUGAGUGAAGAUAUACUUGAGGCUCUUAUGAUCGGUGUAAAUAUUACACAGAUUACCCAGCAGAUAAUGCCUCCAGAUUUUCAAAGCAUGAACAACUGCUGCCAAUUCUAAGUCAUGAGUGGGGUAAUUGACCUCAUGCUUUCGAAGUUGGCGCGAGGCAUACGCGAUAACGCGACCUUCCUGCAUCAACACACAGCCUAAACCAAUGCCUGAUGAGUCAGAAAAGACAUCGAAAGGCUUCCCGAUAUCAGGUUGAGCUAGGACAGGAGCUGAUGUCAACAGUGUCCUCAACUUGUGGAAUGCCUCUUCACACUCAGGUGUCCACACAAACUUUUCAUCUUUCUGAAGUAGACGAGUCAUAGGCUUGGAUAUUUUGGAGAACUCUGGAAUAAAUCGACGGUAAUACCCAGCCAGACCGAGAAAACUCCGAACCUCGUGUACCGAAGUUGGAACUUUCCAAUCCAGCACUUCUUGCACCUUAGCCGGAUCCACCGAUAUGCCUUCUUCAGAUAAGACAUGGCCCAAGAAAGGUACUUUCUUUAGCCAAAACUCGCAUUUGCUAAACUUUGCAUAAAGCUGAUGUUCGCGCAAACACGACAACACUACACGCAGAUGCUCUGCAUGCUCCUCUUCAUUGCAAGAAUAUACCAAGAUAUCAUCAAUGAAGACCACCACAAACUUGUCCAAUUCGGGCAUGAACACCGAAUUCAUAAGAUACAUGAAAUGAGCAGGUGCAUUUGUAAGGCCGAAGGACAUGACAAGGUACUCAUACAACCCAUAUCUCGUCGAGAAAGCCGUCUUAGGUAUAUCUUCGGGACGGAUCUUGAUCUGAUGGUACCCAGAUCGCAAAUCAAUCUUGGAGAAUACCUUAGCUUUGGACAACUGGUCAAACAAGAUAUCAAUGCGAGGAAGAGGGUAUUUGUUCUUGAUAGUCACCGCAUUUAGGGGACGAUAGUCCACACACAUGCGCAAAGAUUGAUCCUUCUUCUUCACAAAGAUAGCCGGACAACCCCAAGGAGAUGAACUAGGACGAAUAAGACCCUUCUGCAACAACUCAUUUAGUUGGGUCUUAAGCUCAGCUAAUUCAUUGGGCGGCAUCCUAUAAGGUCUUCUAGAGAUAGGAGCGGUGCCUGGAAUCAAUUCAAUUUUGAACUCCACAUCCCGAUCCGGAGGAAGCCCGGGUAGAUCAUCAGGAAAAACAUCCGAAAACUCACACACCACCGGAAUAUCCUGAAUAGCCUUAGAUGUAACUGCAUUCACAGUGCUACGGAUUUGAAUAUCAUGAGGGAGUUGCACUAGAAAUGCCUCCUUGGUAUUUGGGUCUUUCAACAUCACUACACGAGUGGUGGUGUCUAUAAGAACUCCAUUACCACUCAUCUACUUCAUCCCCAGAAUUACAUCUAUGCCCACACCGGGUAGAACAACCAGAUCAGCAAGAAACUGACGGCCUCCUAUCUCUAGAGUUGCCCCCAAAACCACUUGAUUGGUGGAAAUAUCAUUUCCCGCAGCACUAAUACAAUAACUGCCCUUAUCAAGUGUGAUGGUCUUGAUGCUAUGUUUAGAUACAAAUUCAGAACUCACAAACGAAUGCGAUGCUCCAGAAUCAAAAAGCACAAGUGCAUCAUGUUGAUUGACCAGAAACUUACCAGCCGUGACUACCUCACCAGCAGGGAUUGCCUCCACAGUUGUGUAAUGAACACGCCCCUGACGGACGUUCCCCUGGUUGCCCUUCUUUGGCGGGUAAGGACAGUUGCUCUGCCAAUGCCCGGUCUGAUUGCAGUUCCAGCACGGACGGUUGGCAGGUGGAGUCUUGGCAUAGUUGGGACCCGUGUUGCCCUUAGGAAGAGCAAUAGAGUACCCCUUGCGAAAACCCGUCUUUGCCUGAUUCUUCUUCACCGGAGGGCGGUAUCGCUGGUUGGGGGUUGGAGCACGGAAUGGUGGCUUAGCUACCACGGGAGCCUUGGACUGAGAUGACCCAGCACUGGCCUCAAAAGCCCUCUUGCGAGUCUUGGUCGCAGUGUACACAGUGUUAUAGUUCUCUUGGGUGAGAGCAUCACUGACAAACUCAUUGAAAGUUGCACACUUAGAGCGGCCCAUAGUCUUCAGCAAUUUGGGACCCAAACCCCGCUUGAAACUAGCGAUCUUUUUCGCCUCCGUGUUCACAAACUCAGGAGCAUAUCUAGACAAGUGAUUGAAAGCAUGCAAAUACUCCUUCAGAGUCUUGUUGCCCUGAGUCAACUGCAUGAACUUGGUGUGCUUCAUCUCCAUAACACCCGGAGGAAUGAAAUGCCCUUUGAAAGCCUCACGGAAAAGAUUCCAAUCAAUCACCGUGUCAGCCGGUAGAGCUUCCCGGUACUGAUUCCACCAGAUGCCUGCCGGUCCUUGCAGUUGGUGAGCUGCAUACUCCGCCUUCAAACCUUCAGUCAACCGAAGUAGGCGAAACUUUUGUUCCACCGUAUUAGCCACUCUUCAGCUUGAAGGGGUUCUUCAGCUUCUCUGAAAGGUGGGGGCUUCGUAUCCAUGAAGUCCUUGAAGCUACUGUACUGGUUAGGAGCUGGCCCUUCCUGUGCAUUACGGCCACCCUGAUUUGCCAUACGAUUGAUGGUCUCAGUGAGCAUCCUCUGAUUUUCCACCAUCAUUUGCAUCAGCUCAGCUGGAUUUGGUGGUGGAGGAGGAGGAGGUGGAUUCAUGUUUGCACGCUGUUCCGCACCCCGGGUGCCACGAGACAUCUGUAAAGACACAGUCAGUGAGUAUUGAUGAUGACAAGAUUUGCCGUAGAAGAACUUAUAUUCAUGCCUGAAAGUAUUCGAGAGAAUAGCUUUAUAGAAAGGCACAACAAUUCCAUUCCACAAAACAACAUCACCAAUCCAACACAUGACAUAGACAUCCGCAAUACGCACCACAACGGAAAACAUCGGCAUAACAUAACGAUCAUAAAGACUGCACAUAGGGUCCAUAAAGUUAUUACACCAACACAGUACAUGCCAUGAGUCAAGGUCAAAGUUUCGGAUUACAACAUGGUUACAAAAGCACCACAGCCGACUGGCAUACUACAAAAGAUCCUUGGGUCACACUACCCACUACUCCCUACACUCCAGGCUCGUCGUCCGAGUCAGCGUCGAAGAUCGCCUCUCCAUCCUCGUCGCUAACCGGCUCAAGCUCCUCGUCCUCCACGUCCUCGUGUAAAGGUGGUGCAGCAGCUGCUGGUCCAUCGACCUCCAUACCAUCAUCAUCGGCCACAAUCACCUGAGGUCCUACCUCGGGAUACACGGGUAUAGGGCGAGGAACAGGGUGUAGCAAGUUGUUGAGACGGUGAAUCUCCAGAAGACCAGCCUCAAUCUGAUCCUGCAGAUAGUUCUCCCGCUCAAGCGACUGAACUCGGUGCAUCUCCCAUGCUUGGCGCCUGUUCUCCGACACACAGAGUGCAGUAUCCCUCUCACGGGUGAGCUGCACCAAGCGCUCCUGCAAGGUCUCCUUCUCUCUAGCUAACUGGCUCACCUGAUCCUGCUUAUGAUCUCUCUCUCUGAUGGCCUUCACCCACUGUUGCCUACGAUACUCCGCAAUGUCUUCCCAGUCAUUGCGGUCCUUCUGAGCUUGCUCCAGGAGUCUAGCUUGCUUGCGAAACUUGCGAGCACGCCUUUCAGCCUUUCGCUGCAUCUCCUAGGCCCUGCGAACAGCCAUCAUCACCUGUGCAUAGGUGCCCUCUCGCUGACUAAUCAGCUUGAGCACAGCCAUCAUAGCACUCAUAGCAGGACUAGUACUCUCAGCUCUCUCUCCCCUGCCUCGAACCAAAGCACAACCAUCAGCCUGUUUCCAUUCCGCGGCUGCUGGGUCAGCACUAGGAAUGGAGGCCGCUGGUCCUCCCGUCAGCUCGUCACAACACCUCUGACAGAUAUCGAGCAGGAUAGUCUGGGCUGCAACCUGAGCUGCCUCCCAAGGAGUCUGCCCAUCAGAGCUGGAAGUCCAGCCUGUCCAUGCAGGCUUGUCCCCAUGUGGAGGGACAACUCCCUGCACAGCAAACCACUGGAUCCCUCCUGUGCUCUCCAUCUCCCACCAAGAAUACUGAGGUGGCUCAGUAUACCCAACAGUCCGUAACACUCUCCAGAGCAGGGUAGGAGUGCCAAACUCGUGCAAGAAAGUGUCACAGGGACGAGGUGAAGCGGGUGCGUCCAUCUGUGGAAGGGAAUAGGAACACCACGGGUAACAGAGGAUUAGUUAAGCAAUCAUUCAUUUAUUGAAAAGGGACGAAAUUGUAAGGGAAGGAGUAGACAGAAUGUAUGUAUGAAUGCGACAUGAUGCAUGCACGAACCGUACGUCCUCACAAACUUAGAAAAUUAAUAUUCUAACGGAUAUACGGUGGCAUACAUUCGUCUCUCGAUACGGUAACUAUCGGUUUACACGUGCGCUGUCAGAGUACCUACAGAAAACUUCAUUUCAGCCCAACAGUUCCCAAUAUAUAUCACUCAAGAAAGCAGUAAACUAAGUGCACAUUGCUCGGACAUGCCCAACAUGCCCCAAACAAUGACACCACAACUACCCGAGAAAUUAAAUGCUCCCCAAUUAAGUUUCUUUCGUGGUUUCAUGGUUUCGACAUGUAACCACUCCAGAAAACCACCGCGAACACUCCCUUAGACCGCCGUUUGGACGAUCAUGCUCUCACAGCUCACACUUACCCGAGCGUAGGUGCGACGUUACAUAAUUUAAAUCUAGCGACAUAUGUGGCUAAUUCACAUAUGAAGGCUACCUCCACCAUUAGACCACAGGGUAGCAUAGUGCGGUCAUCACACAUCCAUACCUGAGUACUGCCGGAGAUGCAUAAAUAAACCCCCCCCCCCAAGUCAGUACUUAAAUAGCCACCUAUAGUCCUUAUGUGGGCAAGGAGGAUUCGACCACUGGCAUAACUUAAUUAUUUGUUUUACAGUAUUUUAUUUAAAACUCUUUUGUUUUAAAUACACAAACGCUGCAUUUAUAAUGCUGAACUUGCUCCGAUGCCAGCUGUCACAGAACCGACCAAAUUAUAAGAGUUCAAGUGCAGAAACGAUCGUCAAACAAUUAAGUUUCUAAACUUGAGCCCAUAUAAUCCCGGUAGUCAAUCGAAAUCACGAAGGACUUCAAACCAACUCGCAACAAACCAAGAUCGUAAUAGUUCAACAUAAACACAACGAAUGUUACAUAGUCAGUCAUUGCCGAUGAAGUGGCACCACAUCGGAGUCAUUAAGUUAUUACAACCCAAGUCUGAAGUAGCGGAAGCAAAAUAGUUACACACACUUGUUCAAAGUUCAGUUCACAAGUUUUGUUACUGCCAGAGUCUAUGCCAUCCUUCCAAAAGCAUCAUAGACGAGAAGAGUAGAGAACCGUGCCCAACGGUUAGUCCUCAUCCCCAGCGGGAUGGAGACAGGUCUUGCAGAAACCGUCAUAGAAGAUAUCAUCUGCUAUAGGUGGGAAUAAACCCUGAGUACGAGGAUGUACUCAGCUAGGCUUACCCGUCUAGUAAAACACAAAAGACACCAAGGAUCAUGCAAGGCUAAAUCUUAGGUGGAGUUGGUUGACUCACCUUUUGCCAAAAGCUUAACUUACAACUAAGUUAUUUUAAGAGCAUCAUAUUUAUUUAUCAUCAGCCUACCACUAGAUUAGCACCUGUACUACAACACAUCACUUGAUUAUUACAAACAAUAAUAACCAUAUCAAAUUCAUCAUAUGUUCUUCUUGCUAUCAUCAUUAUCAUGAACCAAAUUCAUUAGUGAAUGCUACGUUUGCCGCUGCUCUGUCUAGUUCUCACUAACCGGGAGAGACGGCGAUUCGAAUCGAAUUCCUAUCCAGGUGGAGGAUUAUUCCUAGCACUCACCCAGGCAUCCCCUGCCGGAGAGCCCACGGGUCACCUUUGGUACAACUCAGAAAUCGCGGUUCCGAUCAGCGCCGCACUCCCAGGGCUACCACUCUGCCAGGGAGGUCAGAAAUUUUAACUCACCUGCCUUUGGACUUACGCCAAUGGUCCCCCGCACACCGCACUUCCUCCGGUAGUGCGCACUUUAUACUUGCCGGUCUUCCGGCCUGAGUCAUACUACUCGGCUUCGCGGUCGGAACGAGUUAUCCGGCCAACUAAGUGUUAGGCAUGCGUUCAACAUGACAAGAGGACGUACAACGAUCAGUCCUUAGCUGCCACAGACGGAGUUACUACAAACUUGGAAAACUCUGCCCGGCUUAAGUCACUUUAAUCAGGUUCCAUCCACGAUAGCACAUAUAGACCAUCGUGAUCCGACAUAACCCUAUAUCGCACGGAUGACAGGAUAUCACCCGACUUCUACCGAUUAAAGCAUAUCUAAGCUGCUACUCAAUCCUAACUCUACAACCAGGGAGGGUGAGUUAUCUGGACAAGGAUAGAGUAGAAUGCAGCAACAGUUUCAUCACAACUCCUAGACUUAAUGCGUCAAUAGGUAUAACAUAUUAAGUAAACUUUCGAAAAUAGAAAGAGACUUAGAAUGCUCCGGGGCUUGCCUUUUACGAAUGAUGCCGGCUCGUGAUUCGGGCACUCAACUUCUUCUUCGGGCUCCUCGAGUCCGGCUUGCUGGACCUCCACCUCCUGGCUGCCCUCCUGACCUUCGGGAUUCGCUUGGAGCUCGAAGGAAACUGCCACGUCCGGUGCACCUAUUGCAUGCUCGAACGAUAAGAUAAUGCACAUGCUAACGAUGAAUGCUUAAUGACACAAGCAACUCACUGGACACUCAUUUACGGACAAAAGUUAUACUAACUCGCAUAAUUGAACAAGUUAACAUAACCCAAAACCUUUCAAGACACUAAGGCAGCAAACACACAAACAGAGAGGCUCAGUAAAUAAAUCAUAACUAAAGAUAGGCAGGUCCAACAAACAUGAGUAAGGACAUUCUGGAAAUCUUAUGAAAUUGUCUACAAUUAAUCUUUAAACAUGACAGCAAGAUUCAUACAUGAGACUGGUCAUUUAAACAAAGUUCCAGGUUCUGUCCCAGAAAAACAGAGAACACCUAUUCCUGGAACCCAACUUGAAACAGCUAUAACUCUUAAACUACUUGGCCAAACGACCUCAAAUUUAAACCAUAGUUAGUUCAACAAGUUUGGAACAUCUUUGCUUGAGACAAGUUCCACAGAAAGUCAAGUUAUCAUUAAGUAAUAACCAAAUUGCUACCUUGCUGUCCAGAACAGCAUUUAACCCUAUAGUUAAUUAUUUAAUGACAUGAUCAAGACACAAACCAUGCCAACCACAUGGCCUAUGAGCACAAACAUAUUACAAGGUUACCAGAUCAUCAGAUGGAAACCCCAAAACAUUUAUUUAACAAGGCAUUUAUUAAUUAUCUCUAAAUAAGAGCAUAAUUACAAGAUACUAGUUCAAAUGCUCAGAAAAAUCUACAAAAAUUACAGAAGCACAAGGACACCAUCAAAGUAUCACCAUAAAAAGUUCACAGCAAUUGCACAUACCAAAAUAAAGAUAUGUAUUUAACACGUAUCAAGGCAUUUAUUUCAUAAAUUUAGAAACAAUACUUAUAUGGUGUUAAACAACAGAUUUCAGAUUAUUUACAUCUUAGGAGUACCAUAAACAAACUUACCACCAAAGUAGAACAUCAGCAUAAGCACCAAUUAUUUUAUAUGAUUUAUUUAAAGAAACAAGCCAUAUCUCAAACACAAAUUACGUAUCCCAACUGCAGUGCUCUAAAAAUCAUGAAAUAAUUAUCAGAGCACUCUAAUGCCAUGCAAAGGCUACCAUAAAAUUUUCAAAGCAAACUAAGCAGUAUAACAAGAGAUAUGCAUUUUUCCAUAAAUAACAAGAUUAAAUCCUUAAUAAAUGAUUUCUCAGAAAACAUGAUUCAUUUUAUAUUUUUAUUAAAUACUAGCCAUCUCAAGAAACUCUACAAAAAUUUGUUUCACAAUUUUUGGAUCUCAGAAACCAGAGAUAUGAUUUUUGCAAGAAAGCCAAAAAUCAGGAUUUUGAAUAAAAGAAAAGGAGGGAAAGAGAGAGUCGCUGACAGUGGGUCCCAUCUGUCAGGCUCUUCUUCCUCGCGGACGAGGCGACUUUCGCCGCCGAUUUCUCCGCGACGGCGAGGUCUCCGGCCAAGCCAAGGGCAUCAGCGUGAUACCCAAACCCUAACGACUCGAUUGACCCCACUUUUCCCACGGCGGAGCCACCGGAAGAGGCUCGCCGUCGACAAUGGCGGCUCGGCGGAGGUGCUCGGCGUUACGCCGGAGCCCUCAGGCCGGUAGAGCGCGACCUAAGGCCUUCUACAGCACCAGCGGACUACGGCGAAGCUUCCUAGGUGCGCGGCUUGGCCUGGAUCCCCGUGGAACGCGCUAGCCACGAGAGCACCCAACUCCGGCGGAAGCACGGCGGCGCUGCGCACCGUGUCCGGCGACGGAGAACCCGGUAGAGCAUCCACCAGGUGGCGCAAAAGCUCGCUAAGGACCUAAGCUACCUCUAGGACCUAACCAAAGACGAUGAGAAGCCUCACAGCGCUCGGCAUUGAGUUCGCCGGAGAAGAAGGUCACGGCGAACCGAUUUGGGGGAAGAAGGGAAUGUCGGCUCACCGGUGGGUUUCUCGGCGAGUUAGAGGGUGGAGCUUGGAGAGCGGCUCACGGCGGAGCUUUGGGUGGAGUUUGGUGGACGGAGGCGCAGUGAGGAGCGCACACGAGCUCGCCGGAGUGAGCUCGCGGCGGAGAGCUCGCUGCGGGCGAGUUUCAGGCGAAGGAGGGCGAGGCAGAGCGAGUGGACGCGUCCACUUCACUCGGGACGCCGCCGUGGAGGUCAUGCACGCGACGAGGGCUGACAAGCGGGGCCAGGAGCGGCGUGCGGUCGACAAAUGGCGACGGAGCUCUGCCGGCGGUCGGCCACGUCGACGAGCUCAGGCUCGAUUCAGAAGAAAGGGUGCUGGUCUGACAGAGCCACUUCACCGGCGAUUAUCUCCCAAACCAGAGCGAAUUAGAAGAUGGCGUAGUUGACAAACUUGGAGAACUAAGCGAGAUCUACAACUUUGUCAACUGGAGCAAGAGCUAGAUCGGCUUGGAUUGAGAGUUAUGAAGUUUUCAAAAUCAAUCGAGCAAACUGGUUUCGUUCCAAGACUUAGAAAAUUUUCUAAGUGUUGAAAACAGCCCCAAAUCUGCCUUGUAGGUCACUUUUGAGCUAUUUGUGAUCAUUUUCAUGAGAUGGCCAUAAAACAACUUUUGUUCCUUAUAAAAUUUGCUACAACUUUGCUGUAGAAAGUUUUGACAUGCAAACAUUUUAUGAAACACUUUUUAAAAGCCUGAGCAAAAGAGGUUUCUAGGGUCUAUUUUCAUAAGUAUGACUUAAAAGCAUAUUUUGGAAAAGUGAUCAACAUGAACAUUGUUCCCAAGAUUAAGUUAAGCAUAGAUAAACUAAUUACCAAGGCAUUAAGCACAAACACAAGCAUUGUUCACUCAAACAUAAGCAUAGGAAGCCUAUUUAAGCAAUUUAAAACACAUUUUUGCAUAGAAUGACAUGGCUCAAGAUAGAUGAUGAUCAUGAUAUGCUUUGAGUAAAUGAUGAUGCUCAUGCUAUGCACAUGCUUGAUGCAACCAUAACACUGGGGUGUUACAUCUGUCAAUAAAAUGGUAGUUUGAAAUGUUUCCAAGAUCGGCAAAAAGAUCAAAUUCUAUAUCUAGCUUGGAAUCACGUGGUGGAAUUUCUUCCUUUUGUGGCUCAGAACUUGGGAUAGUUAAAGUAGAUAGAGAAUUUGACGGAGUGUCUACUUUAGCUUCGUAGGUUUCAUCAUGAAGCUUGUGGACCUCCUCGCCAGUGAUCUGACGCUUCUCGUCGAAGCGGCGUAAGCGUUGCUUCACUGGCUUUGAACCGGGUCGAAUCUCCAAGGAGUGCUCAGCGACUUCCCUCGGUAUGCCACGCAUGUCUGAGGGACUCCAUGCAAACAUGUCGGCGUUUGCACAGAGAAAGUCGACGAGCACGGCUUCCUAUUUGGGGUCAAGGUCGGCGCUGAUCGUCAGCACCUUGUCGUAAGAGCCGUUGGGGUCGAUUAGGAUUUUCUUCGUGCCCUUCGCUGGUUCGAAGCUGCCCACAUGGCGCUUAGGCUAUGGAGCCUCAGCAGCGAGGGCCUCGAGCCUCGAGGCGAGUUCGGCGGAGCUCUCGAUAGCCUCCGCAUACUCGACGCAUUCGACGUCACAUUCGUAUGCGUGCUCAUAGGAGGAGCUGACAGGCAUUCGACGCAUUUGACCCAUUUGACCCCCUUGGGCCCAGGCAUCUUCAGCUUCAGGUAAGUGUAGUUGGGGAUCGCCAUGAACUUGGCGUAUUCCGAUCGCCCGACGAUGGCAUGGUAAGUGCCUCGAAAACCCUCCACUUCGAAAGUGAGGGUUUCCUUCUUGAAGUUGGCCGCUGUGCUAAAUCAGACUGGUAGGUCGAUUUGACUCACCGGCAAUGCCUUCUUCCCUGGCACACCUGCGCUUGGUUGGAGCUGCGUCCUAUCGAUGCCUAGGAGGUCGAGGGUCCCGAGGUAGAUGAUGUUGAGGCUGCUGCUGCCGUCCAGCAGUACAUUUGAGAGUCGAGUGUUGACGAUGAUGGGGUCGACGACGAGCGGGUAGACACCAGGAGCGACCACCCUAUCGGGGUUGUCGUCACGGUCGAAGGUGAUGGGGGUGCUCGACCAGUUGAGGUACUGUGGUACUGCCAUCCUUGCCGCGAAGACCUUGCGGCGUUCCCUCUUACGCUGUCACAUGGUGAACUGCGUCGAAGGUCCACCGUAGAUCAUGUAGCAGUCAUGGACGGCAGGGAACCCUUCAUCUUCUUUGUUUCCCCCAUUGUCGUCGCUCUUGUCUUUCCUCUGGUCGUCCUUCCUUAGCCCCCGGCUAUCGAAGUACUUUUUCAACAUGCGACAGUCCUCGAGCUUGUGGUUGGCCCCUCCCUUGUGGUAAGGGCAGGGUUCCCUGAGCAUUUUGUCGAAGACGCCCCCCUCUGGGGGGCCUCGAGGCUUCUUACGCUCAACGGCGGCGACGAAAUCAUCGUUGAGAGCCUCCCGCUUGGUCGGUCACAUUUUCUUCUUGUUCUUGCUCUUCUUGGACCCUCUGCUAUGGCCUUCGUCAUUGUCCACUGGCGCUUUCCCCUUGCCGCCUUCAUGGUUGAAGAAACCGCUGACCGCCUCUUCACCAGCUGCAUAGUUUGCCACCACAUCCAUCAGCUCGUCGAUGGUUUGUGGUCGGUUUGGACCUAAUUCUGGCACCAAAUCCUGGCAUGUGGUGCCUGAGAAAAAGGCCAGAAUGACGUUGUGGUUGGGGAUGUGUGGGAGCUCGGUGUGCUGCUUUGAGAAGCAUUGAGUGUACUCUCGGAGAGAUUCUCUUGAUUUCUGCUUGCACUUGCUGAGGUACCAUGAAUUGUCGGGGCGUAUAUAGGUCGCCUUGAAGUUUCCUUCAAACACCCAGACCAAAUCUGUCCAGUCGUGGAUCUGGUUGGCAUGGAGUUCCUCGAGCCACCUACGAGCGGUAUCAGAGAGGAAGAGUGGCAACUGGCAGAUGAUAGCUCAUGUUGGGCAUUCUUAACGUCACUACCAAAAGUAGACUUAAUUUUCUAAUUCUGAUAACGGCGCCAAAAAUGCCAAACCUAUCCCUCAUGCCACUUAAGCCAAGUUGUCAUCCCCAGCAUGACAUAAGAGAUGCGGUAUUGAAAUAUGCAAUUGCUCUUCUAAAUAAAUAAUAAAUGGGAUCUGCAAGCGCACAGAUUAAUACCGAUGUAGCAUUUUAACUGGGAAUUAUUCUAGGUAUCGUUAUUUAUAUUUUUUACCAGUGGGAAGGGUUUGCUAAACAUCAAUGUUGAUUAUAGAAUAGAAUAUAGGAUUGAGUAUUUAUCAUUGCAUGUAUAAUUGAGAGCAUUUAUCUAUCUCUUUCAUACAUUGAUAAGUGUCACAUAAAAGAUAUAUAAAGUAUGAAUGGUGAUAAAGAUAAUUAAUAUGAUCAGCAUAACUUAGCCACAUAUAAAUAUGAUAAGCGCCUCAAUAGAUAUUCUAGCAAGUCGUUAGCAUGGAAUUAGGACGAACUACAAGAAUAUUUCCUAAGUCAUUCUCAACUAUAAAGUCUAGCAUAUCAUAGUUAGUGCAAUUAUAUUUGGCAAUCAUUGCGAGACAGGACUACGCCCAUGCAUAGUGGUAUUAUCAAGGAAUAUGAGAAACAUAGCAGUCACUCCCCUGUAAUAAUGUUUCUCUGCCAGCCCUAUACACGAGAGGGGGACUAUAUAAGAAUCAAUGGAGCUGUCACUACCACGAACUACCCCACGAUCUAGCAUAUAGGAUACAAUCGCAUAUAAAUACGGUAUGGGCACCAUGCCUACACAAUACUUAUCAUUUACCCACUGUACACAUGGAUAAACGCUAUAUGAUCCUAAACAUGUAUAUAAUUCCAAUCUAACUAAGCCAAGCAUAUAACUAUGAUAAACUAAGAACAAUAUAAUUGCGAAUAUAAACAAGUAGAGCAAAGUCAUAAUCAAUAUAUUGAAGUAGAACAAAGUCAUAUUCUUAAUAUGGAAGAAAAAAGAUGAACAAUUUAAGAACAGUAGAGAAUUACCAAGAAUCCUCCUGAGGCGUCCGGAAACCAAUCGAAGAUUGACUCCUUCUAGUUCUAAUUUUAUGUAGCUAUGCUAAACUAGAGAUCUAAUUGAUGUGGUGGCUCUAGGGCUUGAUCAGAGGCUUCUUCUCCCAAGAUGAAUAAUGAAUUAGGGGUCUGAGGUCCUCUCCUCCAGGGGCCAGAGGGUCUGGUUAUAUAGUCCUUCCAAGUGAAUACGGGCCGUUGGAUCAAACCGACAUUAAUCGCACGGUUUUCCUUGAUCCUUUAGGUCGGUGGAGCAUGAUCCGCGAGAUUGAAGCUGAUUGGCCCCGAGGCCAGGGCGGGCACCCAAGGGGGGAGGGCGGGCGCCCUGCCCUGAGCCCGUCCGGUCUCCCGUUCAUUCCCGUGGCUUCUGGACUCUUCUAGAUGUAGGAUAAUUGCGCGGCACGUUAAUAUCUCUAUGUAAACCCGACGUGUGGGCCUUUCUUCCAUAAUUCCUGAUAUCCCCCUGCAGAAAUAGACAAACACCAAAACUCGUGGAAUUCUGUCGGAUAAAACCCUAAGUCUGGAUGUUGGUUGCAUUUGGAUCCUUUUCUUUGUUUAUUUGAUAAUUAAAUUUGAUACUUAAGGACCAUCAACAAACUCCCCCAAGCUUACCUCUUGCUCGUCCCUGAGCAAGGAUAAUUUCAGUGUUGGAUUAGAAGUUGCUACAAUACCUUUUAAAAAUUAACGGUACACAUGCUUUUAAAUAAGGUCUCAUCUCUGAGUGAGAGUAAACUGUCAAUACUUAAAACUUACUUUACCUUUCACCAUGGGACUUGUAACCGUCACUUCUGUCUUGAGCAGUUAAAAGAUAGAACGGUCUAGUCAAGUGUCAUGUCUCUUAUUCUUCAUCAGCUAUAGCUCUGGAGUUUUUGCAGAUUUUCAAAUAAAACUCAGAGAUUCCUUGUAUGAUUCUCUCAGAUCUCUCUUUUGUGGUAUUUCUGGAUCCUUACCAAGACAGUGAUGGUAUAUGCCUUCUCUCUCAAAAUAUGUGGUAUUUGUGGUAUAAGCCAUAGUGACAUUGCCUUCUCUCUCACCCUACUCUAAUAAGACUUUUGAUAUCUAGAGCUCAUAGGUGGGAGAUAAAGUAUACAUACUUACAAGACAUUUAUUGUAUAGUCAAACCAUGGAUCCAAAGAAACAAGUCAAUAAGUCAAAUCAAGAUGUGCAUGUGUGGCGAAUGAGUGGUGUAUGGUGAUGAUGGUGGUAACAAUGGUGAAAGUCCAUUUAUACUUGUGCUCUUUUGAGGGGAUACAUACCUUUCUUGCUCUUUUGAAACUUUUGAGGAGAAUGAGAUGCUCUAUAUUUUCUUUUUCUUUCCUCUCAGGUGGGUAUCUUGUACCCCUAAUUCUACUGUCAGACACUUGUCCAUUUUUACAUCUCAUCUCACUUUUUCUUUUCUUUCGAGGUUCCGGGCAGUUGCCCCUUUUUAUUUCCUCGUAACUUUUUUUUAGAGCACUCAUUUCCUGAAAUAAAUAGCAAGUGGUAGUAAUCAAGAUAACUUGAGCAUUUCUUUCGCAGGGGAAAACAGAAAUGUUUUUGGCUAUUCUCUCCUAGAUUAGGAGUAGAAUAUUUUUUGGUGGCUCUGGAGAUGGAAAUGGGUGGAUAUAUGUGGAUGCGUACUUUCGGAGUAGAAGCAGCAUGUGUGAGUGAACGUGCAAGUGAAUCUUGAUUUAACCACAUGACAAGCUCCUAAGGGUCUACACAGCUUGACC